Molecule: long non-coding RNA, 48742 nt
Filed under: Citrus x clementina
Lineage: Eukaryota; Viridiplantae; Streptophyta; Magnoliopsida; Sapindales; Rutaceae
Description: Citrus clementina (C. clementina) long non-coding RNA (CCLE_LNC002810)
Source: RNAcentral
CAUCGGAUUAAAAACAGUUUGGACGCUUAGGAUUGCGCCACGUCAUCAGUUAACAGUACGCGGUUUGACCACGCGGAUGAACAGUAACACGGUUUGACCCAGGUGAACAGUGACGCGGUUUGGUUGAAAAUAAUCCUGUGUGAUGCAUGUACCGUACGCGCGAUUUUUUCGUCCACUGAUAUGCUGCCACGUCACCAUCAACAGUACAUAAGAAUUUUAGCCCAAUAGGAUCGUGACACCUCAUCAGUUAAUGCCACAUCAUCAGUCAAUGUCACGUCAUCGAUCCGUCUAUAUGAACAGUGUCAUGAACAGUAACGUAGACAGUACCGUACACGUGAAUAGUAACAUAGACAGUACCGUACACGUGAAUAGUACCGUACAUAUGAAUAGUACCAUUUUUCCUUUUAUGCUCUUCCUAAGGUUUUCGACCGUCCUGAGUUCAAAAGUGAUGUCUGUUUUGCCGUCUGAUCUCUCGUUUAUUGUGAAAUGAUCAUGAUACCCCUAAAAUACAUAAAAUACUUAAUUAAAAUAAAACACAUGUAAUUAAAUCACAAGAAGGUUAAAUACAUAAAAGUAAGGGUUGUUAAUAAGACUUGAAAUGUCAAAUGACAGUUUUCUCCUUUAUAAAUAUACAUUUUCUAACACUCAACACACCCCCCAACCAGCUUAUUACUAGUCCCUAGCAAAUAAAGCGAAAACGAAAUUCAAAUCCAAAAUGAUUUUUUUUUUUAAUAGAAACACUCGUGUUUAUUCAAUCAGAUUAAUUAUAGCAAUCAAAUAAAAGUAUAAGCAUUAUCUCCAGUCUAAAGAAAUAUCACACCCACAUCAACCAUCCACAUGAAUCAGCCCAGUAGACUUUGUUAUAGCUACUUUCAAGAAUGACAUGUCAAACCCUAAAAUCUCACUGGAAGUAGUGACACUCUCACAAAGAAAUUAAACCCAAUAAAAAUAGUCACUCCAAUGAAUGGUAAUUGAGAGAAAAUAAUAAAGAAGUGAUAUCACAUGCUCUCACCAAGAUGAAAGAAAUAUGCCCUCAGCUUAGAAAUAAUACAAUCUCAAGUCAAACAAAAAUGCUAGUCAACCCAUUUUAUUUAUCUUUUUUUCUUUUAUUAUUAUGCAUCACUACAUCUUUUUAGCCCAUAUAACUAGCUUCUACUUCAAACUAUAGUUCCCUAAAAUCAAGAAUGACUUUUAUUAGGACGUAACGUAGGCUAGGGACAUGGCUAAUACAGAAGGGAAAUAAGGAAAACAAAGUGUAUGUUUGAGAAAAAUGCAGAGAAUUUUUUUUUUUUUUGAAGUUACAAGGUGUAUUUCACCUAUUGUUGUUAUUUUUAUUCUUUUGAAACAACAACUUUUGUUUUGUUUUUUUUUUUUUUGCUUUUAUUUGGCAUAACUUCACUGAACAAAAUAAUUAUUUACAUUUUCUCAAACAUAAAUAGGUGAUGGAACUUAUAAGACAUCGGGUAAUACUCCAAAUCGGAGUGGGUCAAGAUGAUAAGUUGACAAAGAAAAGGUUUUUUUUUUUAAAGACUCAAAAGGGGUAACUAUGGAUAUUUAAUAAAAGGGUGGCUAGAAUGACUCAAACGGAUCAAACAUGGCAUUUCUAUCAUCUUUUAGGGCUCUAAAUAAUUAUCCAUAUCUACUAGUUAGAUGAGCCUCUCAAUGUAGCAACACACAUUUUUUUCUUUGUCUUUUUUUUAUUUUACAAUUUUUUUUAAGGGUUAACUCAAAAGAAAUCUAGAGGUCGUAUAUAAAAUAAUAAACUGCUAAGCUAUAUAAAGAAUGGGCAAAAGGGUUACUCUCCAAGAAAAAUGAUAGGCUCAAAAACUCAUUUGGCACUUAUUUAUGACAUGUUCAUUCCUUCAAGCAACUCAUAUUUGUCUCCGACAUCAACAUGUAAAGUAGCAAAUAUAGCGUAACAUCACUUAAGACCAAAGAUAAUACAAAUACUAAAAUUUGAAAUUAAUCAUGUCAUCCAAUGUUAAAACAAAUAAUACAACAAUUUUUUUUUAAACAACAUUCUACCCCCCAACCUAUUCUAAACAUGAAAGGAAAAUAUGCAUGCAGAAAUGUGAAAAUGAUGUAGAAAAAUUUAUUAGAAAAAGAAUUUUUUUUUUUUUAACUAAGAAGAUGCGUUUCUAGAGGUACGACACUCCAUAUUCAGCCAUCUUCGACUCAAAAAUUGAAAAAUAUAUAUUUAUAAAGGAGAAAGAGGAAGAAAACAGUUUUUUUUUUUUUUUAAACGAUGAAGAUGCGUUUCUAGAGUAACUACACUCCAUAUUCAGCCAUUUUCAACACAAAACGUUAGCAACAGUUAGUUUCUACAACAAAAAAUUAGUAAAAACUUAACCAAGAUUUCACAAUUGUCGACUAUUCCCUCCCCCAACCAGAACGAAACAUUGUCCUUAAUGUUUGAAAGGAAAGAAGUAGAGUUUAGAAGACAUCACCUGGGUGGUGCAACACAGAAGAAAAUAUUUACAGGCGGAGAGUUAAAUCUAAUUUGUACUUCUUACUGCGGCUACUGUUACCAUCAUUAUUUGGUCGCUCUAACACAAAGGUCCAGGGGUCUGGCUCCGGUUUAUAAGCUUGUAACAUAUCAAGUAGCUCAUUAGCAGUGUGAGCACAAAUAAAGAGUUUUUUCACAUUAGAAGGAAUGAAAUAGUUUUUUAUUGCAUGGUUAAGAAAUGCGAUAAAGCCAUCAUAAAAGUUAUUGACAUUUAACAAACCGAUGGGUUUCUGGUGGAUGUGCAGAUGGGCCCAAGAUGCUAGUGUGAUAAGUGCCUCUAGUGUUGCAAGAUCUCCUGGAAUGAAAAUAAAAGCAUCAGCAUGAUUAAGCAUUUCAGUUAUUCUUUCUUGCAUACCUGAGACGACUAACUCUUCUCCAGUUGAUGAGUCAGACGAACUGCCCAAUGGUUUUAGGACUCUUGGGAUGAUGCCUAACACUUGACUUCCUCUGAUAAAAGCUGCUUCUGAGACCAUUUUUGAUAACCCUCGGUUACCUCCUCCAUACACCAAAUGUAAAUUUCUCGCUGCUAUGCUUCGACCAAGAUUUAUGGCUGCCUCAACGAACUCUUUAUGUUUGCCAUAGGUAAAUCCAGAAAGCACACAAAUAUUCUUGAAUUGUCUAUUGGGAGUAGCUGCCAUUGGAAUAUUUCUCAAAAAUAAUUUGAGUGUUUGACAAAAGAAAUCACAUUUAAGAGUCUUGGUGAUAAUGGGUCACAGCUGUGAAUGAGGUAACAUGUCAGUGUCAAAUAACGCGUGAAGCACAUGGCUCGCGAGUCAAAAAGGAAACAGUAAAAAUGAAAAAACAAACAGUAAUAAAAUUAUUAAAGACAAUAAUGCAAAUAAUAAAACAACAGUGAAAUGAAAUAAAAUAAUAGUAAAGUAAAAGGAUAUUUACACGUAGUUGCGACUGUGGCUCACAUCUUCCUCUGGUUUUACGUCCAGAAACGGCUUGAACGCCCUCUAUGGGUCGAUGAUGGGCUUCCUAUCCAGUUUUCUUAUAAACUGGCAAACAAGGUCGUUUAUAGUCAGAUUCCCGAGACUAUACUGUGCAUGCUCUUUCUGGAAUAAUGGCCAUAACUGGAGAAUCGCUCCUUGCACAUAUCCAUUGGGAUGCGUUUCAAGAGACAGAAGGAUAUCAUCCAAUGACUCCUUAUUCAAGCCAUCCCUAAUGAAUUGAAUCUUAUCUUCUCUGUUAUCAGACACCAUUCCUGCCAAUCGUACUUUAGCCUCGAUUAACCAACGGAUGUCUGCAUGUAUGUUAUUCCUCAUGAGCAAUCGCAUGCGUUCAGACCGAGCUUUAUAGAUUGUAAGGAGGGCAUUUUGAGGAAGUGAAGGGAAUCGCUUGUGAAGCUUUGCUAGAAUCUCAUUUCUAUCCAUACCUUCGCCUCAGAAUAUCAGUUAUUAUGGGAAACUGAAGUAACCGACUUGAUUGUCAUGGAGUACCAUUAUCCGCCACUUCACCGGGGUAACAAACUAAAGCACAUAAACAGAAAAACAAAUUAAAACACACAAAGAAAAUUAAAAUCGUCCUCUUAUUGAAUUUACCUCAAGCUCCAACUGGAUGUCGUAAACACUUCUCUCAAUAUCUCUGAGUUGGCUUUCUAAACCCUCAACAUAGGCUACUAACUCUGGUGGUCGUAGAGCCCAAAUGCAAUGUGUUUUACAAAAUUGAAUCUGCAUUUUGAGAUGAGUUUUGACAUGUUGAAGUGGUUUAAGAAUGUUCAGGAGGAACGGUCUAAGUAUGGUACUCAUGAUUAAAAAUGAUAAGAGAAAACUUAAUAGUUAAACAAACACACUUAUGUAAAAAUAAUUUCAAUUAGCAAAAGAAUAAUAAAAAGAAAGAAAGAAAAAUCAAAUCAACGAAAAGAAAGAAAGAAAAAAAAAUCAAUUCAAAUCUAGUGGGUCACUCAAAUUUAUUUCGGUGUCUUCUCCAUGUGGUUGGUAUUCUAGAUAUGGCUUUAAUCUUUGACCAUUAACUUUAAACGUGACACCGUUCUUUGGGUCCUUAAUUUCAAUUGCCCCAUGUGGAAAAACAGUAUGAACAAUAAAUGGACCAGACCAUCGAGAGCGUAACUUACCUGGGAAUAGGUGCAAGCGAGAAUUGAAUAAAAGCACUUUCUGACCUGGAGUGAAAGAUUUUCUCAUAAUGUGCUUGUCAUGAAAGACUUUCAUUCGUUGCUUGUAAAUCUUGGCACUUUCGUAUGCAUCAUUGCGAAUUUCUUCAAGUUCUGCCAGUUGUAAUCUUCUUUCUGAGCUGGCUUGCUGCAUAUCAAAGUUGAAUUUCUUGAUGGCCUAAUAUGCACGAUGCUCGAGUUCCACAGGUAGGUGGCAAGCUUUUCCAUACACUAGCCUGUAGGGUGACAUCCCAAUCGGGGUCUUGAAAGCCGUUCUAUAUACCCAUAAUGCAUCAUCAAGUCUUAAUGACCAAUCUUUUCUAUUUAGUCUCACCGUCUUUUCUAAUAUGUGCUUUAUUUCUCGAUUGGAUAUCUCAACUUGACCACUGGUUUGCGGAUGAUACGGAGUCGCCACUUUGUGUGUGAUUGAAUACUUUGUCAAAAGAGCUUUGAAUGCUUUGUUACAAAAGUGGGCAUCACCAUCACUGAUUAUUGCUCGAGGGAAUCCAAAGCGUGAGACAAUGUUGCUUUUCAAAAAUCCUAUCACCACUUUGUGAUCAUUGGUCCUACAUGGAAUUGCUUCUACCCACUUCGAUACGUAGUCAAUGGCAACCAAUAUGUAUUGAUGGCCAAAAGAAGGGGGAAAGGGUCCCAUGAAGUCAAUACCUCAUACGUCAAAAAUCUCAACCACUAAAAUUGGAUUUAAUGGCAUCAUGUUCCUUCGUGUAAUGCUCCCCAUUCUUUGACACCUAUCACAUGAAGAACAGAAAGUGUAAGCGUCUCGAAAUAUAGUUGGCCAAUAGAAACCACAUUGUAAAACUUUAGUUGCUGUUUUCUUAGCACUGAAAUGGCCUCCACAAGCUUGUUCAUGGCAGAAUGAAAGAAUAUUCUGAAUUUCACUUUCUGGGACAUAUCGUCUAACAAUUUGGUCUGCACAAUACUUGAACAAAUAAGGGUCAUCCCAAAAGAAAUUCUUUAUUUCCGCAAAAAAAUUGGUCUUGUCUUGCUUGGUCCAAUGCUCUGGAAGUUUACCUGUAACAAGAUAAUUAAGUAUAUCAGCAUACCAAGGUAAUACUUCCACACUCAUUAAUUGUUCAUCUGGAAAUGACUCAUUUAAUGGUAAUGGUUCUGUAAUUGUGUCAAAGUGAAGACGAGAGAGAUGGUUCGCCACAACAUUUUCUGUGCCCUUUUUAUCUUUGAAUUCCAAGUCGAAUUCCUGCAAAAGUAAUACCCAACGAAUUAGUCUAGCUUUUGCAUCUUUCUUUGUGAGAAGAUAUUUAAGAGCAGCAUGAUCUAUGAACACAAUUAUUUUACAACCAAUGAGAUAAGAUCGAAAUUUCUCUAAUGCAAACACUACUGCUAGCAUUUCUUUUUCAGUAGUUGAAUAGUUCAACUGUGCAACAUUCAAUGUCAUACUAGCAUAGUAAAUAACGUGAGGAAUUCGAUCAACUAUUUGUCCUAACACUGCUCCUACUGCAUAAUCAGAUGCAUCACACAUGAGCUCAAAUGGUAAGCUCCAAUUUGGGGGCUGAAUGAUGGGUGAUGAUGUCAAUAAUUGUUUUAAUUUUUCAAACGCUACAAGACAUGAAUCAUUAAAGAUAAAAGGUACAUCCUUAGCAAGUAAAUUGAAUAAGGGUCUAGAAAUUUUGCUAAAAUCUUUAAUAAAACGUCGAUAGAAACCAGCAUGCCCAAGGAAAGAUCUUACUUCUCUGACUGUUUUGGGUGGAGGAAGAUUAGAAAUGAGAUCCACCUUGGCUUUGUCAACCUCAAUACCUUUGCUUGAAAUGAUGUGACCGAGAACAAUACCUUGUUUUACCAUAAAAUGGCACUUCUCCCAAUUUAAGACUAAAUUCUUCUCGAUACAUCUCUGCAGAACUAGCGUUAGAUGAUGUAAACAUUGAUCAAACGAGUCACCAAAGAUAGAAAAGUCAUCCAUAAAGACUUCAAGGAAUCGUUCAACCAUAUCAGAAAAAAUACUCAACAUGCAUCGUUGAAAUGUAGCCGGUGCAUUACAUAAUCCAAAUUGCAUUCUCCUAUAUGCAAAUGUGCCAAAAGGGCAAGUGAAAGUAGUUUUCUCUUGAUCUUUUGAUGCUAUGGGAAUCUGAUUAUAUCCUGAGUAGCCAUCUAGAAAGCAAUAAAAUUCAUGACCUGCCAAUCUAUCAAGCAUUUGAUCGAUAAAUGGUAAAGGAAAAUGGUCUUUACGUGUGACAGAAUUCAAUUUUCUAUAAUCAAUGCAUACACGCCAUCCUGUAGUUACUCUAGUUGGUAUCAAUUCAUUAUUUGCAUUCGUAACUACUGUGACUCCUGACUUUUUGGGGACAACUUGUACAGGACUGACCCAUGAACUAUCAGAAAUGGGGUAAAUGAUACCUGCAUCUAAUAGCUUAAGGACUUCAGUUCUAACAACGUCUUUCAUAUUAGGAUUUAACCGACGUUGCAUUCCCUAGUAGGUUUAGCAUUUUCAUCAAGGUGAAUAUAAUGCAUGCAAUCUACUGGGUUUAUCCCUUUUAUGUCCGCUAUGGUCCAUCCUAAUGCCCCUUUGUGCUCUUUUAAAACAUCCAACAACUUACCUUUUUGUUCGUCGUUUAGGGAUGAUGAGAUGAUUACUGGUAGAGUGCUUUCUUCUCCCAAAAACGCAUAUUCCAAACUGUUGGGCAAUGGUUUGAGCUUGAGUUUCGGUAGUGAAUCUGAUGAUAGAAUGAGUUUCUUCUCUGAUGGUGCUAGUUGUUCAACUCUUGAUUUCCAUUUAUUAGUGUCCAUGGAUGGUGCUGAGUCAAGUAGGGCGUUGACCUCAUCGACCGAUCUGUCAAUAUCAAAAUCCAAACCAAAGUGAGUUAAACAUAUUCGUAAAGGAUCAUCACUAAGGUUUGAAACAAAAGUGUCAUCAACUAAUGCUUCAAUUAAAUCCACAUCAACAAGUCCAUCAUCUGUAUUGUGAGUUGUUUGGCAAUGUUGAAGAUGUUCAGCUCCAUAGUCAUGUUGCCAAAGGACAACUACAUAUUUCCAGUCCUGCAUUGAAUGUGAGCAUCCGCAGUUGCCAAGAAAGGUCGGCCUAGAAUAAUGGGGAUGUGCUUCCUUGAAUCCUGUAUUGGUUGAGUGUCAAUUACAAUGAAAUCAACAUGAAAAUAAAACUUGUCUACCUGGAUAAGCACGUCCUCCACAAUACCACGAGGUAUUUUCGUGAACCGAUCUGCAAGCUGUAACACCACUGGAGUUGGGUGUAAUUCUCCAAGCCCAAAUUUCACAAACACAAAGUAAGGCAACAAAUUUACACUAGCUCCUAAAUCCAACAAAGCAUUCUCAAUUGUGUGGUUCCCUAUGCUACAUGAGAUAGUGGGGGAGCCUGGGUCUUUGCAUUUUAGAGCAAUUUUAUAUUGGAGUAAAGAACUAACGUUUUCUGUUAAAAAUGCCUUCUUUUGAACAUGCAUGUUUCUCUUUUUAGUACACAAAUCUUUAAGAAACUUGGCAUAAGAUGGAACUUGCUUUAUAGCAUCAAGUAAAGGGAUGUUAACACUUACCUGUUUGAAGAUUUCGAGAAUCUCACCUGUGGAUUUUCCCUUCUUUCCUUUCGCUAACCUUUGAGGAAAUGGAGCUUUCGGAACGUAUUCUCGUGGGUUGGUUUCUUUUUUCUCUUCCGGUGAUGAGUCCUCAACACUCACAGGUACAAUUUGAUUUUCUUUUGUCACCGGCAUCUCCACUUUGUUGUCGACUUCUUUUCCUUUUCGCAAGGUCAUUACUGCUUUGACCUCUCCAUGCUGUUGUGGUGAACUGGUACUUACUUCAUGCACUCCUUUAGGAUUAGGCACUGGUUGACUUGGAAACUUGCCUUUCUCAACAGUCAUUGCCAAGGUUUGAACUGAAGAAGCAAGUUGUCCCACCAUCUUCUCCAGGCUUGAAACUGAUUGAGCUUGUGAGUUGAAGCCUACUCUCAACUCAUUUCGUAGUCCAUCAAUGGUGCGGUUCUGUUGCUCAAUCGUGGAGUGAGUAACAUUCUUGAAAUUUUGAAAUGCAUCCUCCCAUGGUCUGGGUUGAGAGUAGUUCUGAUUCUGAUUGUAUGAUCUAAAUGGUGGCUGAGAGGCUUGAGGAACUUGAGGAAUUUGUUGCAUUGGUGGAGCUGGAGCUGCUGGUCCAUUCUGUUGGAAUCCUUGAGACCAUGAAAAAUUGGGGUGGUCUCUUCAUCCAGGGUUAUAUGUGUUGGAGUACGGGUUGUAAUUUGAUGGUUUUCUCAUUACACCUAUGGCAUUGGCUUGAUCUGAGUAUGAGUCAAGGUCAUGUGGCUCAAUUGAUUUAGCAGUCGAUAAUGAUGCUAUUUGUCGAGAGAGCACUUCAAUUAUCUCCUUAACUUCUUUAAUUUCUGAAGUUGACUCGCCAAUGUGAACCUCAUUCACUCCCUUAAUUCUUCUAGUAUUCCUGAGUGAUCGACUCUGUUGUUGGGAAUUAUCCGCUUGUCGCUGGAAGAAUUCCCAAAUCUCUGCACUUUUUGACAUUAGCUCUCCUGCACUUGUUUCCAUUAGCCAUUCUUGCACAUUUGGUAGUAAUCCCUCCAAAACGUAUUGGCAUUGGUGCCAUUUCUCAUACCCAUGAUGUGGACACUUCAAGAGUAACCCAUUGAAUCGCUCCCAUAUUUCGAAAAACUGCUCGUCCUCUCUUUGGGUAAACUCCGAGAUUUCCCUGCGAAUAGCAUUGGUUUUAUGCACUGGGAAAUAUUUGUUCAAAAAUUUCGUUACCAUUUGUUCCCAUGAUGAAAUGCUAUUAGUAGGUAAAGUAUUUAACCAUGAACGAAAAUGGGAAUAAUCUGAGUUUAACAUCAUCGUCUGAAAAUUUUUCAUAUUUAAAAGUUUGACAAAUGGCAUGAAAAUCAUUUAGAUGAUUAUAUGGGUCCUCAUUUUCUAGGCCAUAGAAUGUUGGGAGACAAUUUAGCACACUAGGUUUUAGUUCAAAACUCCUAGCAGCUACAUUUGGGUAUCUUAUGCAUGAUGUGCUCAAAUUAGCUAAAGGACUGAAGUAGUCCUUAAAUGGCCUCUCAUGUGGUUGCAAAUCCAUUUUAUUUUUAAAUUGUUUGUGUGUGCGAAGUGUUUUUUCUAGUUCAAGGUCUAUCAGUUCAAGAUUAGGUAAUAAUGACCUACGACCAUGCAUGCAAAACAAAUAAAAUAAAAUAAAAAUGGGAACAAAACAAAUAAAAAUAAAGAAGAGGGAGAAAUUAUGAUACUAACCUUAUUGCGCUAUUACAACCUUUCUAUAAAAAUACACAAAAAUAAAUACGUGAAAUAAAUUAACUAAAAAUUAAAUUAAUAAAAUAAACAAAAAAUUACAGAAGAAAAAAAAAUAAAUUGAAAAUUAAAUUACGGAAUUUUAAAGAAGAGAAAAAGAAAAGAAAUACUAACCUUUAUAUGUAGAUUCACUUUUUUUUUCUUUUUCUUUUUUUAAAAAAUACAAGAAAACAAUUAAAUGGAAAUAUUCAGAAAAAUUAAUUCUAUGAAUUAAAAUUACUUACCUCCCCGGCAACUGUGCCAAAAACUUGUUGUGCAAAUUUUAAUGAACUCGCAAGCGCACGAAUCUAUUGUAGUAUAGAUCAAUGGUGACGAGUGUCGAUCCCACGAGGAGGUGGAUUUUAAUUGUGUAUAGAAUUAAUUUUGUAAAUGGGUGAUUGGAUUUGUGGUGGAAAUGAUUUGAAAUAUGCUAAAACUUAAAUUAAAAUGGCGAGAAUAAAUUCUAAAAUUGGUAUUGAAAUGGCGAGAAUAAAUUGAAGAGAAUUCUAUUGAAAUGACGUACUUGGGUAUCUGGAUCCGUAUCAACAUGCAUCAUGGGUUAAAUAUUCCUUAUUAAUACCAAUUAAAUCAUGAGGGGGGAAUCCACACCUCAUGAACCACGCUCUAAUCAAUAUGGUGCUAAGGGCUUAUCGUGCCAAAUAAUAAUAACCUUAUACUAGAGAGUCGGUGUAACCAAGACGGUAUCUAGACAAGAUUACUAUUAUUUGUCGACGAAAAGUCAAAUCAUCCACAAAAAUUAGAGGGGAAAAAGAAAAUAAAUUUACCAAAUAAAGUUCAUGACACAUGUUGAGACUUCACCUUCAACCCAAGCUUCAAAGAAAAUUAGCCACUCAUAAUUGAACUAGGGGCAAAAUAGGAAUUUAUUAAAAUACAUAGAAAAUACAAGAAGGAGAAGAAAUUACAGAAAAUGGAUCCCAAAAAUGGAUUCAGAGAUAUCAAAUUAGGGGGGAGAGGCCCCCUUUUUAUAGAUACAUGGAGUAAAUCAUGGCCAUUGGAUUAAAAACAGUUUGGACGCUCAGGAUUGCGCUACGUCAUCAGUCAACAGUACGCGGUUUGACCACGCGGAUGAACAGUAACACAGUUUGACUUGGGUGACCAGUGACGCGGUUUGGUUGAAAAUAAUCAUGUGUGAUGCAUGUACUGUACGAGCGAUUUUUUCGUCCACUGAUAUGCUGCCACGUCACCAUCAACAGUACAUAAGAAUUUUAGCCCAAUAAGAUCGUGACACCUCAUCAGUCAAUGCCACAUCAUCAGUCAAUGCCACGUCAUCGAUCCGUCUAUGUGAACAGUGUCAUGAACAGUAACGUAGACAGUACCGUCCACGUGAAUAGUACCGUACAUGUGAACAGUGCCAUUUUUCCUUUUAUGCUCUUCCUAAGGUUUUCGACCGUCCUGAGUUCAAAAGUGAUGUCCGUUUUGCCGUCUGAUCUCUCGUUUAUUGUGAAAUGACCAUGAUACCCCUAAAAUACAUAAAAUUCUUAAUUAAAAUCAAACACAGAUAAUUAAAUUGCAAGAAACUUAAAUACAUAAAAGUAAGGGUUGUUAGUAAAAUUUGAAAUGUAAAAUGAUGAUUUUGUCCUUUAUAAAUAUACAUUUUCUAACACUCAACAGCCACAAAACAGGCUUUGAGACUUUGGUUAACCUUUGCAUGCCUUAGGAAUUUUUACAACGCUUGGGAAUCUGCUCGCCUUCGCUUGGUCGAGCAGAUCCUGGCACGCUUGGCUACUGGUCACGCCAUAAACAGGCUUUGAGACUUUGGUGAGCCUUUGCAUGCCUUAGGAAUUUUUACAACGUUUGGGAAUCUGCUCGCCUUCGCUUGGUCGAGCAGAUCCUGGCACGCUUGGCUUCGUGUCUCGCCAUAAAACAGGCUUUGAGACUUUGGAACCUUUGCAUGCCUUAGAAACUUUUUGGAACUUUGGUGGUCUGCUCACCUUCGCUUGGUUGAGCAAAUCCUGGCAUGCUUGGCUUCCUGUCUCGCCAUAAAACAGGCUUUGAGACUUUGGUUAGCCUUUGCAUGCCUUAGGAAUUUUUACAACGCUUGGGAGUCGGCUCGCCUUGGCUUGGUCGAGCAGAUCCUGGCACGCUUGGAUUCUGGUCUCGCCAUAAACAGACUUUGAGACUUUGGUUAGCCUUUGCAUGCCUUAGGAAUUUUUACAAGGCUUGGGAAUCUGCUCGCCUUCGCUUGGUUGAGCAGAUCCUGGCACGCUUGGCUUCUCGUCUCGCCAUAAACAGGCUUUGAGACUUUGGUGAGCCUUUGCAUGCCUUAGGAAUUUUUACAACGCUUGGGAAUCUGCUCGCCUUCGCUUGGUCGAGCAGAUCCUGGCACGCUUGGCUCCUGGUCUCGCCAUAAACAGGCUUUGAGACUAUGGUGAGCCUUUGCAUGCUUUAGGAAUUUUUACAACGCCUGGGAAUCUGCUCGCCUUCGCUUGGGCGAGCAGAUCCUGGCACGCUUGGCUUCCUGUCUCGCCAUAAAACAGGCUUUGAGACUUUGGAGCCUUUGCAUGCCUUAAAAACUUUUUGGAACUUUGGUGGUCUGCUCACCUUCGCUUGGUCGAACAGAUCCUGGCAUGCUUGGCUUCCUGUCUCGCCAUAAAACAGGCUUUGAGACUUUGGUUAGCCUUUGCAUGCCUUAGGAAUUUUUACAACGCUUGGGAGUCUGCUCGCCUUCGCUUGGUCGAGCAGAUCCUGGCACGCUUGGCUUCUGGUCUCGCCAUAAACAGGGUUUGAGACUUUGGUGAGCCUUUGCAUGCCUUAAGAAUUUUUACAACGCUUGGGAAUAUGCUCGCCUUCGCUUGGUCGAGCAAAUCCUGGCACGCUUGUCUUCCUGUCUAGCCAUAAAACUGGCUUUGAGACUUUGGAGCCUUUGCAUGCCUUAGAAACUUUUUGGAACUUUGCUGGUCUGCUCACCUUCGCUUGGUUGAGCAGAUCCCUGUGUGCUUGGCUUCCUGUCUCGCCAUAAAACAGGCUUUGAGACUUUGGUUAGCCUUUGCAUGCCUUAGGAAUUUUUACAACGCUUGGGAGUCUGCUCGCCUUCGCUUGGUCGAGCAGAUCCUGGCACGCUUGGCUUCUGGUCUCGCCAUAAACAGGCUUUGAGACUUUGGUGAGCCUUUGCAUGCCUUAAGAAUUUUUGCAACGCUUGGGAAUCUGCUCGCCUUCGCUUGGUCGAGCAAAUCCUGGCACGCUUGGCUUCCUGUCUAGCCAUAAAACAGGCUUUGAGACUUUGGAGCCUUUGCAUGCCUUAGAAACUUUUUAGAACUUUGCUGGUCUGCUCACCUUCGCUUGGUUGAGCAGAUCCUGGCACGCUUGGCUUCUUGUCUGCUCAACGCUAGCCUAGCUCUCUUUCCUUAAAUUAUUAUCAUAUUGAGUAACUUUCAAGAAAUCAAGUUAACUAAGUUAUACCGUCAGCCCUAAUAUGAGCACAAUCAAUUUAAUGAAUAUAAGGCAUCCUCAUAUCACAUAGCAGGAUUUAGAGAAAUAAUUAAAUUUUCAUGAAAAAAUUACUUGUAAAUAAAAAUUUAACUUCUGACAUGUUCUGAUUGCUACAAACGUGUGCCUUCAAUGUACUCUCAUUUAAGGUUUUUGCUUCCUUGUUUAAGCAAGCUCAUCCAUUUACGCACUGUAACAUUCUGAUUUGCUUCGACUAGAUGAAAAUUGAUAAAGACAAAAAAUUGGCUUCUCGUACCGAUCCCUACAGACGGCGCCAAAUGUUGAUGCCGAAAUCCGGAUAAGUUGGUCAGAUCUCAGAUCCCUGCAUCAUCAUUAAAUUUGUUUGGUGGGAAGCUGAUGAUUAGUUAGCACCAUGAGCAGAUUUUCUAUGAGCAGAUGUUCUGUAAGCAGACAACCCAUGAGCAGACAAUCCAUGAACAGACGAUCCAUGAGCAGAGAACUCAUGAGCAGACAAUCUAUGAGCAGAUAACCCGUGAGCAGACGAUCCAUGAGCAGAUAACCCAUGAGCAGACGAUUCAUGAGCAGACAACCCAUGAGCAGACGAUCCAUGAGCAGAUAACCUGUGAGCCUGUGAACACAACCAACAGUCAGGAGGUGCCGGAAGUUUUUCUGGCGAGAACCCUCCGACGCUCAAGUCAGCGAUUCGGGUCUUAUUUGGAAAAACUCAUACCACAAUUCAUGUGGCUUAAUUAUGAUUGCUUUAAACAAAAAGCUUUUAACUAAAUUUAAAGGAAAAGAAUUCAAAAUAAUCAAUCUUAAAGAAAUCACAGGCGAAAGAGAAAUUUCUUUGUGGUAGAGAGAGAAAAAGGUCCCAUGGGUUCAGUUGCUUAGAGAGAGAGAGAGAGAAAGAGAGAAAAAAGGUCCAUUUCCUCAGGUUUUUAUAGGAAAUUAUAGCGGUUUUUAUCAUCUCCCCUAGAAUUCUCAAGAAAACUAUUAAUUUUCAGCCCACUAAGAAUAUGGUCCCUAAUAUUUCGGAGAAAAUAUUUUGACUGAAUCAUGCUUUCUGGUAACUUUUUGGUCGAGGUGACCAAUAACAUCCUAGUCGAGGUGAUGUGCUCGAGGUCACCACAUAUUAUUCUGGUCAAGGUGAUGUGCUCGAGGGCACCACAUAUUAUUCUAGUCGAGGUGACCAAUAACAUCCUGGUCGAGGUGAUAUGCUCGAGGUCACCACAUAUUAUCUGGUCGAGAUGAUCUGCUCAACCAUUUGCUCACUUUUAUUUUAAGGAGAACACGAUAAUGUAUGAGCAAACACCUUUAUCUUGGUCACCUUAUUUCAUUCUCUAAACAAUUAGUAUUUUAAAUAAAUAAACUUAAGCAACUUAAAAUGCUUAAGGAUAUUUUUGAAAUUUUAAAGAGUGUAUAAAAUAAAACUACAAAACUUAUUUUUUUAUAAUUUGUGUAUGAGUAUGCAGAGUAAUAGAAUGUUCAAAGUAAUAUUUAGAGUAUAAAUAACCCUACCCUAAAGAAAUUUAUGUGUGGUAGGGCGCAAUACCUCAUAUUAUUAUUCUAAAAAAAUAUUGGUAAAAAAUUAUUUUUAACUUAGAUAUUAUUAUUUUUCAUUGCAAAUACUGAUUUGAAAGUAUACUAACAAGUAAAGUUGAUAUUAGAGAAACUUGUGUGGGCUAUGAGCACUUUGUCAGCAUGUGCUUGGUUGAUAAGUCUUUUGAUGAAUUUUCCACGUAUUAGAAUUACACUAACAACAAGAAAGCAAGAACUUAAAUAAGUAGUUUGGAAUCGACUUGAGGAUUUAGAUAAAGAAUCUCUUAUUUGAGAUGUGCUUCAAAGGAAAAAGAAUUUAGUUGUGUAAUGAUAAGAAUAUGUUUUUAAAAAGAUAAAAACAUGUUUAUCUAGUUGAUAUUAUAACAUUUAAAAAAAAAAUCAUGAAUUUCACUAUGAAACAUGAAAUCUGUCACAUAAUAAAUUCUUAGGCGACCAUCCUACAUAAUUUUUCCUCCUAUAUAAAUUUAUACAUAAUAUUUUUUAUUAUGUAUAUAAAAAUAUUAUAUAUAUAUUAAACCCUAAAGAUGUCGUUGAGUAUUUUUUAAGUAAUUUUAUUUGAUUGGUCACACAAAUUUAAAUUUAAGAAAAAUAAUAGGUUAAAAAAUGAAUUUAAACGUUGUGCGCUUCCAAUAUAUGUAUAUAUAUAAUACGUAUAAAGAGUACAAGUGAAUUCUUCACGUAUAAAGAAUUGUUCAACCACAACAGUGUCGUGGAUGUAAAUAGCAAGUAUGUGCACAAACAGGAGAGAAAAGAAAGGAAAAAAAUCCCCGAAGUCGGUAUUUUCAAAACGAAAAGCUCUGCCGCUUCGUUGCCCGUUUUGCUUUCUAUAUAUGAAGAUGGCGUCCACGUUGCAGUUGUAUCUCACCAUCAUUAUUACCAAUUCUGCAGACUCUUGAGUCUGUUUCGCAAAACACCCCAAGAUGAUGGAGAAAUUUUUACAAACAUCUUCGUCAGAAAGAAUAAACACUUCCCAAUGGUAUUUACCCGAAACAGGCAUUUAUCACAGCAAGCAUCCCUCUGUUAACCUUCCCGCGAAUGACUCACUUCUUGACGUUGUCUCCUUCAUUUUCUCUCACAAACACAAUGGCCGCACGGCUCUCGUUGAUUCCUUAUCUGGGUACUCAAUCUCUUACCCGCAGCUCUUCCCUUUGGUGCAGUCUGUGGCCUCUGGUCUCCGCCACCACUUUGGCAUUUCACAAGGUGAUGCCGUUUUGCUCCUUUUGCCCAAUUCCAUUUACCUUCCUGUCAUUUUCUUGGCUCUUUUGUACUUGGGUGCUAUUGUAAUUCCAAUGAAUCCAUUGCUUAGUGUUUCAGAAAUCAAGAAACAGGUCACUUUGUGUAAGACCAAGAUAAGUCUUGCAUUUACUAUAUAUGAAAAUGUUGAUAAGUUAAGGUCCUGGGGUACUACUCCUGUUAUUGCUGUGCCUGAAAAUCUUAUUAAUGAUUUUAAAGAAGGUAGAUUUUCUGAUUUUCAUAAGCUCAUUACUGGAAAGUUUGAUUUAGUUGAAAGACCAGUGAUUAGGCAGCAAGAUACAGCUGCAAUUUUGAAUUCAUCUGGUACCACGGGUGCAAGCAAAGGUGCUGUGUUAACCCAUGGGAAUUUUAUAGCUGCGGUUGAGCUUUUUGUGAGGUUUGAGGCUUCACAGUAUGAGUAUUUGAGUUCUGAGGCUGUGUUUUUAGCAGUACUACCAAUGUUCCAUAUAUACGGGCUCUCACUUUUUACUUUAGGAUUGUUGUCGUUGGGGGCUAGUGUUGUUGUGAUGAGGAGGUUUGAAGCCAGUGAGAUGUUAAAAGUGAUAGAUAAAUAUGGAGUUACUCAUUUUCCAGUUGUUCCACCGAUAUUGAUGGCGUUGACAAAAGCAGCAAAGGGUCUUUGUGGAAAUAGCUUGAAGAGUUUGAAGCAGGUUUCUUCUGGGGCAGCUCCUGCAAAUAGCAAGAUCAUUGAGGACUUUGUUGGGGCUUUUCCUCAUGUUGAUUUUAUUCAGGUAAAAUGAGUCCUCUUUUUUUCAUUUUUUGGGUUGAUGAUGCUGGAAUCUUAUUAUUCAGAAAUAUUUAGUUGUGAUUAUGUUUGUUUGCAGGGUUAUGGCAUGACUGAGUCAACUGCAGUAGGAACUCGAGGCUUCAAUACUAAAAAGUUCAGUAAAUACUUUUCAGUUGGACUUCUGGCUCCCAACAUGCAAGCGAAAGUGGUAGAUUGGGUUAAUGGCUGCUUCUUGCCUCCUGGCUCUACCGGUGAACUUUGGCUACGAGGACCUGGAACCAUGAAAGGUGGUGAUAAAUAUUUCUUUGGUUUUCACAAAGUUUUACUACUUGAUGUGCUUACAAGUUUUCUGAUAAAAUUGCCUGAUCCUUCUUGUCCCCAUUUUUUCAGAACAUUACUUACAAUUGUCAUCGCUAUUGGUUUUCUGAGAUUUUUGUCUUAGAUAGCUCCUGUGUUAUUUUAUCUGACAACCAUACCAAUUCAAUAAAGGAACUUUAAAACCUUUCAUGCAGGCUAUCCAGUUUGAUUCCCUCUCCCCAACCCCCCCCCCCCCACAAAAAAAAAAGAGUUUUUAAUGGUGAGUUAUUGUCCUCAAGAUGAACUUUUGCAAUGCUUCAGCUAUUCUUCAUGGCCUAAAUUUGGUUGUGAACUAUUAGUUUGUGUUGCUUAAAGUUUCAUCAUGGCAGCUUCAAUGGUUUGAAACCUUCACAUAUAUAUUCGUGUCUAGUUUGUGCUGUUCUAUUUUCCUUUUCUGAAUUUCAUUCUUAUCCAUGCUUUCUUUCUGCGCUACAAAUAACCUAUCCAUCACGAAGGCUUUUCUAUUUCAAACGUUGUGUAUCAUCAAGAUAUAACUUCUAUAAUGUUCUAAGAUCAUAAAAUAUUCACAUGGUGAAUAUAGUUAUCGCUAGUUUGCAUUAUGUUUUCUUGCAGCUGAAGUCUUGGCUGCCUUCUUAAUUCCUAAUGCAAGUAGAAAUUUGAUAACUUUUCCGCCUACUCUACAGAGUACAUUAAUAAUGCUGACGCAACUAUGUCAACUAUUGAUAAAGAAGGUUGGCUGCAUACUGGAGACAUUGCUUAUUUUGAUGAAGACGGAUACCUAUAUAUAGUUGACCGCUUAAAGGAGGUUAUCAAAUACAAUGGCUAUCAGGUCUAAUAUUUUUAUAUCCAUGGAAUUUUAUUUUGCACCAAGCAUUUGUAUGGCAUAAUGUAAAUAAUCAAGAGUGAAUUAUGUGUUUGAAUUGGGGCGUGUUUUUGAAAUUUUAUAUGGCGGACAAGAUUACAUAAACUGAGUGCAUUAACAUGUCGGAUAUUCCCGGAGUCAUUGCUGAGCUAAGCCGAUUUUGUGAAUGUAAUUUUGAGAUGGAAUUGUAUUAGUCUAUUCCUGCUUGACAAUGUGACUUUUCUGCAGAUUUCUCCUGCUGAUCUAGAAACUGUGCUGAUUUGCCAUCCUGAGAUUCUUGAUGUUGCUGUAACUGGGUAAGCAUCAGUGCAUGCUACAUUUUAUUAUUGAGCAGAGACCAUUUGAAGAUGUUAUGAAAUGCAUACUGUGUCCAAACUCUCUGUCAUUGAUUACAUCCAGUCUCUUCAUUUUCUACAAUUUCAUUGAUUACAUCCAGUCUCUUCAUUUUCUACAAUUUAGAGCCAUGGAUAGAGUGCUUGGGGAGAUACCGGUGGCAUUUGUAGUGAGAAGAGAUGGAAGCACACUAACUGAGGCUGCUGUUAUCGACUAUAUUGCUCAACGGGUUUCUUUUGACUAAACAAUUUUCAUUGUUUUACUAAAUAAACAUGAGGAGCAAACUAAUAAAGCAUUCAAAUCUCUGUUUCUCUCUUCGGCAGGUUGCUCCAUACAAAAAGGUGAGGAGGGUGGUUUUUACAAAGUCGAUACCCAAGUCUGCUGCUGGGAAGGUCCUCCGGAGAGAACUUAGGAAAUUUUUAACUUCUAAACUUUAGGAAUGAAUUAGAUUGUAGGCAUUGUUAACUCAAUGCUAUAUGUCAGGGUCAAAUUCGUUUAUCUUUCUGCUACCAUAAGAUAUGUAUUGUAAUUAAUUUGAUAUACAGAGAAAUGGCAUCUCAUUUUCAGUUUGCGGAUAGACAGCCUUCAGCCUUUUGUUUCAAAUAUGAUGGGAAAGUAACAAAAUUGAGUAAAAUAAUUUUCAAACACCAUGGCAUUGAUCACCAGCCAGAAAAGUUGGAACUUCUAAGUUAACAGCAUAACCUAAUUAACUUCACAUUGAAACAGGGAAAAAAAAAAAAAAAACUAGAUUGGUUAGGAAUUCUUGUUGGCAGAUUAGCACCUCCGACAUUGACUUAACUUUCAUAAUGAUAGGCAUAAUGGGAUGGCGAUGAUGGAGGAAAAAUGUAGUCAGAUGGGUAGGUGGGAUUAUAGGCAUGCUGAGGAGGAGAAGUGGGAUGAUAAACAUGAUGUUGAGGGGAAGUGGGACGAUAAACAUUUUGAGGCCGGGAGGUGGGAUGAUCAACAUGCUGGGAUGGCGAAGGGGAACUUAGUUCGCUGGUUAUGGGGCUUGCAGUGCGAACUUGUUGUUUGUCCACUCUAACCUCCACCAAUUCCUCUUCCUCAAACGACUGGAAAAUCGGAUGCAGGUAUGCAUCUGCCAAGUAUGCCUUUAAGUUUAUUUCAGGUUCUGUAGUUCGAUCCAGUCUGUCUUUAGCCAUUGCCUCCUGAAGAAGAAAAUAGAGGAACAUAAAGUCAUUGAUAGGCAUAAUCAUGUUCACCUAUGCUUUCAGAAUCAGAAGAUUUUUGUAACUUAGGCAAACAGUGUGGAUGUUAAAUCUGUAAGUAGCUCUUAAAAUCGGGGAUGUAAAAAUGCAAAAUUUUAAUCUUUCCUACUUCUCAUAACCUGCACAACUAAGUUGGAAUUUUAACGUUAAAAUUUCCUUUAUACUUUAAGGCUAACAGGAAAACUUGAAACUAAAUACAGGAUAUGGCCAACUUUACGACUAGGGCUCAAGACAUCUGCCAAAAGAAAAAGCUGGGUGCUGAACAUGGAGUAACAAUGAAAUGUGCUAUGCAGAAGUGAAUAAUGUAAUCAGGACAACCACUGGGUAUCUUAUAAGAGCAGUUAUCAGAAAGAUUUGUUUGGCAUUAAUCAACCGAUUUUAAAGCAUGGAGCUUACCUCAAUUGGGUACUUUCUAAAUGCAGGUUCAAAGCGACUUUUGCAGUACUUGUGGAAUGCUAAUGUCAAUAUUGGCAAUACAACAAGAAAUGGAGUGGAAUUAGCAGCCUCUUUUGUACUCAGCAGACCCAACAACAGCAGUUGAGAUAGCAAUAAGCUUGCUAUUAUGCGGCUAUGAACAUGCGGCCAGAAUGCACCAGCACUCUCAUAUUGUUGAUUGUAGACAUUGAUUAUCUGCACAAUUGGGGUAGCAUUUCAAUGUUGUAUGUAGAACAAUGCUUACAAAUUCACCUUUUAUACAAAGCAAUUACAUAAUGCAGGAAACAAUCCUACAAACAUAUAUUGUGCUUGAUGACAACAAAAGAUUUCUUUAAAUUAUUUUCCAUAUUGAUUAAUUGCAGACAACCUUAAAUUUAGGAUUGAUAUUCUGAGUUCUGUAUUGGGUAUUAUAACUAAUAUUUGGUUGUAAAGAAUGCUAGAUCAUUAAGCUUAAGACAUUCCAAUUGUUCUGUUCAAUUUAUAUACAUUGUGAAUAACAUGCUUCAAGAAAUUCAUGAGCACAAGUCAGACAACCAAUAUACAUCUUCUAAACAAAAAUAAUAAGCGAAUAAACUGACCUGGUGACGAUAAACCAAGUAUGCUAAGCCAAAGAACACUAGCAUAAAAGGAAGAAGGAUUGGUGUAAUCACGGCAUACACAAUCCCCAAAAGAAAGUAAAGUUGGAGACUGGGGAUGGUUUCAGGGAAAUCCACGCUACCAGGAUCCAUAGCCUUUUCUCUGUCUCUCUCUGUCUUGACCAGAAACAGGUUCUUGAGAUGAAAGAUGACCAAUGGCUUCAGUCGGAGAAUCUCACUAGCAAUGCCAGCCCAUCCAUCAACCAUUAUAUAUGUAAUAAAGAAUGUGGCCUUCAUUGGUAUGGACACCCCAAUGGUUCUUGGAAUCCUGCAAAAGGAAAAAAGAAAAUUAACACACAUUUAAACUGCUAAAGAAGCAUAAUAGCUGAAGUUUUACAAAAAAGAAAACAAAUAAAAUAUGCUUAUAUUUAUUUAGUCAAGAAUAAUAUUGCGUAAAUGACAUCAGAUAAACUUUGCGUUCUACUAAAACCACUAGGUGUGUAAUAAAGCUCUAUACGACAUUGCGACUUUACAUUACAAAGAAAUCCAAAAAUGAUACAAUUUGUUCAUAUGAAGGAAAAAUCAAAAGCCGACUAAAAUUUCUCAUACUCUCAUGAAUUAGUUAUCUCUCAUAUGCCAAUAAUUCCCCCAUGCUUAUGCAAUACAUCAAGUAUGACGAAGCAACUCUCAAUUUAAUUUCCUGUAUAGGACUAACUUAAAACAAUUGAUCAUUCCUUUAACCUACCGUGGAAGUUGAGGAAACUGUUAUAUCAACAUACAACAGCAUAAUAUGUAACAUAAAUUUUCAAACAUGGAAUAUAAAACGUUACUGGGUGGGUGAUUGAUGAAGGAAAGAGUCCAAUUGCUCGAAUGCUGUUCCAGUUGCAAUACUUCCCAAGAAGACGUUCACCAACAUAAAAUAAUAGUACUUAGCUGACGUCCUCCGUUCCAAAUUUGAUAAAGCUAUAUGUCCUUCAAUCUUUGACAUGAUCAUCAAAAUUGUAGGAAGUAUGUACAAAAAGAUUUUAAGAGCAAGACCAGGAACAAAACCCUGAAGGAAUGAUUUGAUGAAUUUCCUGCAAAAUAGUGGCAGUUAUUUGUCUUUUUUUUUUUCAAUUAACAGGAAAAAAAAAAUCAAAGACACAUUAUCUAUAUAGCCACUAUGAAGGUGUAACAUAUGAAAAAGCCAUACCACCAUAAUACAGCCUUUAAUGAAAUUAGCACAAGAAACGUUUUCACAUCAGCAAGUUAAUCUUUCACAAAAAAAAAGAAAAAUGUAAUAGAAAAUUAGGAUUAAGAUUAGUUUACUUACAAUUCUAUUACUGGCCUGAGGACUGGAGCAACUCUUUCAAGCCCCUCCAGAUUUGCAAGAGAUUGCACAAAAGCAAUGGGUAUCAUAUAGAAAAAAACUAAGGCAAACACGGAGACUGAUAUUAUAAAUUUCCGGAUGGUUAAUGAAACAAACGGUAUAGCCAAAUUUCUCCAAUAAAUAUCACGAGGUUCUGGAGCCCAAUUUGUUAACCAUAGAGUGGGAUUCUUGCAUUGUUGUGUCUGUGCACAAACAGCAGCCCCCCAACGUGAUUUAAAUGAAACAAAAGCAACUGGAAGAAUAGAUUUUGAGUCUUUCAGAAUUUUUUGCCGCUCCACUGACAUCUGAAUGGGUACAAAUGAACAACAUACCUCUAUUAGUACUAGUGAACCAAAACAUGGGGGCAAGAAGCUAUGUGUUGCACAGAGUUGAUUAAACUAAAAUUCAAUGAAAUUUUCAGAUUUUCAUUUAUUUCAGAGUUUUCCUUCAAGUGAUCCAUGUAUAAGAUCAAGAAAAUUGAGUAGUUGUAGACAAAAUAGAAGUAAUAACUUACUCUUCUCUCAAGCUCCUUCAUUUGGUGCUUGUAGUAGUCAAUUGCAUCAACUUUUUUGCCCCAAAGGCCCAAAAAUCCCAUCUGAAAAUGAGAAGCAUUUGAAGCAUCAAAACUAAUAAGUACUAACAAAUCGAUUGGUAGCUUAGGGUUAUCAAACAGCCCAAGGAAUUAUACAAGUUAUAUCCAAGUGACUGUACCAUCAUGUUUAUAAAAUUACUACCUUUGUAGUUGGCUUCUUCUCUGGAUGUCUCUCAAACUUUAGUUGGUUAUAGUCCAACCAAUUCCGAAGCCUCUCUCUCUUUCUCACCAACUUGGCAAAUUUGUUUGCAUUGUAGACAGCCUGAAGCAAGAAAGAAUCCCAUCAUGAAUGAAGACAAGACAAAUCAUUUUAAUAUGAAAGAAACUAAUAAAAGGACUUUUAAUGAGAAAUCAUUUCAAUAAGAAAGGAACUUAAUGAAAGUUCUAUAACCUGGUGACAAAGAUAAUGAUCAGGAUGAUUUGUUUGAAAGAAAUGGUCUAUAGUUUCUGAUAACGAUUGACCAGAAACAUGUGGAACAUUCCUGACCACCACCUGCAAGGAAAUAAACAAUCCAGACACUUUAAAGCACUUGUCAAAAAUUAUUGUGAUAAACACUAAAUAGAUUUCAGUUUGAAGAGAAUGUUUGGACAUUACUACUCAGAUACAAUCAUAACCAAAACUGAAAAUAUGUAGAACCUAUUUCUUUAAUAAAACUUCCAUUCGAUUGUACACAAAAUAAAAAGAGAAAAAAGCAUUGAACGUAGUAGCUGACUAUAAAAUUUGAACAUUAUAAACUUAGAAAACACUUUAGCUCGAGCAAAUGGAAACGUUAACAGAGUAGGCUACCUUUUCCACCGCUGGUAACUAACAAUUUGCCGGUAAGUCUAAGAGUGAAAAUCCUAGAUCCUUAUUUGGCAUCCAUUUGCCUAAAUGUAUUAAAAGGUUAAACUCCAAAAGGUACAAACUUCCAAAAUGCAGAUCAUAGAUGCAUAAUAAGAUCUCUAAGGAUAUGAAAACAACAACGUGCAAUUUUGACUGUCAAACAUACAUGAUGAACAAUCAUAUGACAGUUGGAUCUUGAUUUCUAGCAUGCAUUAAAAGCUCUUCUUGGGUCAAUUAGGAAGCAAUAGGUCAACUCACUGUGAACUGUUCUGCACGCCUUGCUUGUGAAGCCAAGAAGCGCAGCCUCAUUGAUGCUACGAUAUCAUAUUCUUUGUAAAGCAUGAAACAAAUCCAUAUGGUGAACAGGUAUUCCAAUCCUAUAUGGACAAAAAAUCUGAAAUUCAAACAUAAUGCUUCUUUAGAAAAUUGAUAUGGUAUACAGCAAUAAUUUAUUGAAACUUAAAUGGCAAGGAAAAUGAUACCAGCAUAAAACAAUAUUGUUCCCGCAUUUUAAACUAGAAACGUGUGAACAAGAAGAGUUUUUCUUCCACAAAAUGGUGAUUUGACAAGUUCAGAUUGUAAGAGUAAAUGAUAAUAACGCAUCAGGUAAAUAAAUUUUGGUUCUACAUACUGUACAAUUAUGUUUGAUUUGGGAGAAUCAAAGUUACCUUAUGGAUUUAGGGCGAACAUUAGAUAUUGAAAGCUUGUCAAUAUCACUCACAACCAAUUCUUUCCUCAAAAAGAAUAGCGUUCCACUUGAUACAUUGACCGGAAUAAGGACAAGGAGCGCCACUAUUGUCAUUGGUACAAAAAUCUUGAGGCUGUCAGACCAAACAGAAAAGACUAAUUAUAACAACGAACAAUGACAAUUAAAGCCUCAGGUUACUCUUAAGUUACAGAGUAACAGCCAAGUUUACAAUGUAAUAGACAAUAUAAAAAAUUGUCAAGAAUGGGCCAACACUUGAUUCAGGUCCUGUAAAUUCACUUUUAAACUCAUUCCUCAACUAAAUUUAGCUCCAAUUUGAAUUAAUGCUCCCACUAAAAGGAAAUGCAAACAGAAAUAGUAGACAUGGAAGCCACAACCAGAUUGACCAAUGUACUCAUAGGGAGUAUUUGUGCCGUCUCAUCCUCAGGUUCUAUAGAACUGGCUAGUUUAGCAAUUCCAAUUUACAAUAAAAUUUGCUAACUAACAUAGCCACCAGGUGAGACAACACUUUAGUAGAAAGCAUCCUUUGAUGAUUUUUUUUUAGGGGGUUUUAAAUCCAUCCUCCAAGAUUAUAAGUACACAUCAUCUAAUAAGCGCUCAUAAAAAAUUAAAGAGGAUACACAUAGUAAUAGGAGAAAGAAACAGCAAACUGAACAGUGGAUUAAAACAAAGACAUCGCACCCAACUUUUAGCAUGACUUUAAUCAUUCCAAGUUAUAAUUUUUUUUCUUUUUGGUUACAAAGGUAAAACGGAGCACUUGAAACCCUACAGAUUAAAGGAAAUAAAUAAUAGAGGGAACAGAGGUUGUCCAUAAUGCAUAGGAGGACAAACUAUCACAACACAAAGAUUCAGCAGAGGUUUCCAAUUAAACCCAUUCCAGAGUACAAAAGCAGCAGAAGUAAUAAUAUUAUACCCAUAUUGCAUUAAAUAGCAUGAACAAUUGUACACUUGCUAGGAUGCAUACUGAAGGUUAUCAAAAAGUUCUUCAAUUUUGUGAAGAAUCAACCAAUAUCCAGACCAAAAACGUACUAAAACAGAGUAAGAAAAUUAAGUUUCCCACAGUGUUUUAAGCUGCUAAAAAAGUUGAAAAAUUAAAUUUUGUUAACAAAAAGAGAAGACACCCAAAAAGUGAAAAGGCAAUGAGAAUCGAAUUAUAACAAAUGCAGGAAAAGAGAGAGAUAAAGAGAGUACCCAAGAGUGUAAAUUCUCAAGAAAACAGCAGAGUCGAGGCCAGCAUGAUUGAUAAUCUCAGACUCAGUCAUCUUCAAAGCCUGAGGCAUCCAGUUCAAGAAAGUAAGAUACGUCUUGAAUUCCAAAUUAACGAACUUGCCCACAAAGUUCCUAGACCUCCUGGGGCUGCUUCUAGCCCCAUUGAUGUACCACUUGGGAAAGUAAAUUCUGUCAUUGAUGGGUUGAAUUCUCAGCAAAGCAAAAGCCAACAAAAAUGCAAAAGCAGAUAGUAUGUUGAUCAAUGCAGACACCCCAAUAUCACCAAGAGUAGCCAUUGGAACGAACACAAACAACAAAGAAAGAAGAAACUAGAGGUUAUCUGAAGAAUGGUUUGAAGUAACACAGAAAGGAAAGAAUAUUUUUUCUGUUUUUCCUUUUUUAAUUUUUAGUUUUUUAUUACAAGAAAUUGACAAAGUUGGGGUGCAGUGGCCCUUACUGCCUAAUGGAGUUUGAUAUGUUAAAAGGGUGUUACCCACUUUCCAUUCUUUUUUCAUUACACCACAAGUGAUGUGUUUUUUGUUUAAUGAAAAAUGUUUUGUUGUGUUGUCUUGUUUCGGUUUCCUUCGGGAUUUGGAAGUAUUUUGACUAGCAGAGUUGUUCAUGACAUGUGCAUGUGAAAAGUGAAGUCAUUUGUUAUUAAUUUUUUUGAUCUUUUUGGGAUGAGAGAGAAAGGAGGCGGUGGACCUGCGGGUAACUGGUAUUGCUUAUUGUGCUUGCCGAUGCUGGUAAUCUUUUGUUCCCUGUUGAAGCCAUGUGGCUAAAGAAUGGAUUGAUUGCAAUGAAACCCCUGAAAUUUAUCAUAAUGAUAGAAGGAUUCAAAAGGUUUAUAUAUAUUGCAAUUUAGAUGGAUUGCAUGGAAAUACUCUUAAAUUUAACUUAAAAAUAGAUUAUUCAAAUUGAAAUUUUGAACUCCAGUUGUUUAAGUUUAAUGAAAUAUUUCGAGCACAACCAUCUAACCAUGAGUUUAAGCUGUUAAACCUUAAAUUCUCGAACCUACGCUAAUAUUUUUAAUGUUUUUAAUUAUCUUUACUCUCGAUAUAAUCUAUAAAACAAGAUGAUAGUCUACAUACAAAUAUAAAUAAUUAGUUUUGGAUAUUAUAUAUAGAUUAUGUAUAUUAUAGAAUCUUUUAAAUUAAUAUUAGUAUUAACCAUCUUUUUUUCCUCUGUUUGAAAGCUAAAUUUAUCAAAUUUUAACUAUCUUUUUUUUUUAUUAAUGUAACGUCAUUUUCAUAUAUAUAUAUAUAUAUAUAUAAUAAACACAUAAUAAUUUUUUUAAUUCAACAUGAAAAAGAUAUAUAACAAGGUCGAUGGGUAGUAAGUAGAUAAUGUUUAAUAUUUGACACCACGUAACUUGAUUAUCUCAAAGAAAGAGUGGAUUCAAAUGCACCAAUCAAUUCUUAGUUUAUAAAUAUAAUAUCCUUAUAUCUUGUUCUGAUAUUAUUACAGAUUCAGGGGAUCUCGAUGAAAUUAUUCCUUCGCACAUGAUUCCAGCAAUCUUUCACCUCCAUCUUUUGCACGCGGUGGAAAGCUGGAUGUAAUCAUGAAAGCAUGCCUACGUUACCGCCUUAAAAUCAGCAGAUCCUUUUAAUAUUUAAAUGCCGUUUUUGUUUUAAUUUUACUUUGCAUGAAAAUAUUUCUACCUUAAUCUCUCCUUAAUUAAUUAUGAUUAGAUUCUUUUCUACGAAAACAAUGCGGAACCCAAUUCACAAAACAAUCUUAAUAUUUAUUGCCACAAUAUCAUUUAUUAGGUUUAUUUAAAAAAAUUAUUUUUAUGUUAUGCAAAAAGCCAAAUGCGGUGUUUUCCGUACUUGAAAUAAUAAUAAUAAAAAAUAUGAUGCUAAUUUUAUUGGGUUUAAAUCCUAUAUUACACACACACACACACACUAAUCUAUAUAAUUUUUAGUUAAAAGAAUUACUUACAUGGAUUAAACUGUUCUUCUAAACCGUUUAAAUAAUUAAAAUAGUAAACAGUUUUGUGAAUAAAUUAAGCUAGGGUUGAUAUUUUGUUGGGAGUAUAUAAAACGCAAACAAAAAAAUUUAGUCUCCAUUUUGGCUAUUUGCCAACUAAUAAGACAAGACUCAUAAAAUGUCCAUAUUAUUUCUUAUGCUUCAAUUUGUCCUUUUUUUUUUUUACUAUCAUUUCUUUAUUUCGAAUAGAUAUUGUUAGUUAGUUAUUUAUGCCAUAACACAACAGCGAAAUUGGAUCAUCGAAUGAAGCAUUAUUAUUAAGCUACAGCUUUUAGUAGUGGUACAUGAAUUUAGAAUUAGAAAACACUAAUUGUCGUUUCAUUGUAACAUGUCUAUGACUGUAUAAUGUUAUGCUUGGGCUAUAAUCUUGUUAUGAAUCCAUCAAUUUAUGUAACUUGAUAACUUGACAACACAUAACCCACAUAGGCUUGUCAUGAUAAGAUAAAAUCAUUUUUAACAGCCUCUAAAGAUUUCAUUGAGUGGUUUUAAAUAGUUUUAUUUAAUUAAUCGCUUAAAUUUUAAAUCUUAAAGAAAUAGGGACUUAAAAAAAAUGAUUUAGGCAGGUAAAUCAAAUAAUGGGCAGUUUUUAAAGUUUAUAGUAAUCACAAAUUGACAAACAAGUUGUUGCAAUAGGAUGUGGGAAAGCUCAGCGUCCUUAUCAUUGGCGAAUGGUGUGACUACAGAUUCUAUAUAUCCGUGACAAAAAGUUAAAACUAUAUCUUUGUUUCUUCUAAAGCCAUUUCCAGCAUGUUCCAUCAACAUGUGAUGACAGUCUGUCAGCAUUUCCAAAUAGUCGAAAUUAUUCGAUCAAUCAAAGAUAAGUUCACAAAUACAUUCUCAAAUUUUUACAAGUUUCUACGUUUCUUACAAUUUAUUCCAUACAAUUGCAUUACAGUCAACCAACAAAAAAAUAAAAAUAAAGAAUACUUGAUACAACAAGGACACCACUAGCAUGAGAUAUAAAAGAAAACAAAAUAUGAACCAGAUUUAGUCUUGAUUGCUAUUCAAGACGCGCUAAAUGGUACAAUCUGGAAAUGAAAAUGGUAACUGCUGGGUGCCACUAAAACUAAUAUUACAGAUACAAUAAUGUACACUACUCCGAAGAGCCGAUGGAACAACCUCACGAUGGCUUCAGUCCUUUCACCGCCGCAGCAAAAAUCUAAAAUGUCACAAACAGAUACAUCAUAUAAUGCAAUUCAUAUAGCAAGAUUGUCCAACCAACUUCAUAGUUAAAGAGAUACCACUUGGUGAGAGUGUACAUACCCUUGAUCAUUGAUAUUAGUUCAGUUAUGCAAGAAAUACCGUAUGCUAUGUUUAGCAACUAUUAAACACUCCACAUAGCAAACAUUAAAUGUAGAAUGCAAAACAUGAUUCAAAAACAACAUAUAUAUUACAUUAAAAAAAUAACGUACAUAACCCACACAUACCAGUUAUUCUAAGAUAUAACCAAUAGGCUAAUCAAGCAUUAUACACUUACAACACCAGGUGAAGUACUACAAUUUUGCUUCAAUUCACAGUAGAAUAGCUAUUUGCUUUGCAAAAGUUCAUAUGGCAUGAAACAAAGCAGCCUUGAAAGAUUAUUGAAUAAAAUAGGAAUCCUUCCAUAUGUUUAGAAGAAGAGUUCUGGAGCAGUUGCAAUCAUCCAGUUGUUCCAUCAUGCAUGGAGGUCCUACAAUUGUUCUGAUAAAUCCUAUGAGGUUUUUAGUAGAGACAGAGCACAUUUUCAAGAACUUAGAUAACCCACAUAGGGAUCAAGGCUACAGGACCUAAAAUGUGAGAUCAGCAUCAAUAAUGAUCUGAAUCAAAUUGGAUUGAUGUUAGAUACUUUGAUGGACUAAAAGGUUGUUGAACUCACUGCCACAUAAAAUCCAUGUUAAGGAAUCACCAUGUCUAUUCCAAUUUUUUUUUUUUUUUGGGUUUUAAUCUCAUAUAUGUGUGUUUUUGCUCAAAUGAACGAGUUUUCCCAAAUAACCAAACAAAGAUUAGAAAAAUGAUAGACAAAUAGGAAAAGCUACAUACUCUGGACGGUGCUCCAGGAUCCUGUUUCAACUGUCCACGGGGUUGAUCGUGGCUACUGCUUUCCUCAUGCUCGAUGAGAUUCCUUUCUCCGUUCUCAGCCAAUGCUGAAGUUCCCUGGUUAAAAGCAUCACCAUCUGAAGAUUUUUUCUUUGAUCCACUUCUUAAGGCAUAAGGUUUUUCAUCUUGCAUAACAUUAGUGAGGAGAUCUUGGUUCUUUUUAUUGAACUGUGUUGCUGCUGCUCGUGCACCAGCGAUGGCUGCAUUGAGAGUGGAUGAUUUCUCCACUGCAGUUGAUUUAUUUUCGGGGAAAUUUGUAGACAUAGAUCCUGGCUUCAAAGAAAAAGGAUCUUGUGCAUCUGGAAGUGGAAACUUCACAGGCAGUGGACCUUUAACAGGGGUAAGACCCCUAACAGCAGCUUCAUACACCUGUGACAGGAAUAGAAGUCAGUCCCUGUUUAAACAAAAUGCAAGAGACACAGGCACCAAAUUUUUGCAUCUCAUGUACCUUCUUUUCCAAGUUAUAAACACCCUGAUACCCUCGCAUUUCAAAUGGAACUAAUAGUUUCUGCAUUUGUUUGAGUCAGAAACGAUUCAUCAAAAGUUCAAUGUUCAUCAAAUGGUAAUCUAUAGCAGGGUGAAAGCACUCACUUGAGGAUUUUCACAAAGCCAGCAAAAAUCUGUUUGUGCUUCUAACCUCACCUGUCCCACAAAAUUGGUAUAAAUUAGUCAGCAUACUCAUUGUACAUUAUUAAGUUGAUAAUAUAGGGAACAAAAUGAUCAGGGGAGUAAAUAGCUAACCCCUUCAGGUACCACUUCCCAGCUUGCUAGUUCUUCGCAGCGAACGCAGCCGACUACUUCAACACACCCUACAUAUUUAGAUAUGUCAAAAAUUGGAGAAAAAAAAAAAAAAGCAAUACUAUUGUCUCUAUAAUUUCUCCAACGUGAUUUCCAUUCUAGCUUAAUAGUAAGAGGAGCCAUAAAACACUCAGGACCGUCUCUCACUUGAAAUUGGAAAGAACUUCAAUAAUUUGGUAAAACAACUUCAUUACACAUUUCCCCUCACCUCAUACGCCAUCCAAUUUCUCUCUGCAAGCAAUGUCCUGACUUACCGUGACUUUUGCAUAUAGACCAUCAGAAGGAUACACACAUAACACAACAUAGAGAGUGAAAGCUUGUGUGAGAUUAUCAAUGAAAAUGAAAAGCAGCUAAGUGGACCCAAUAGUCCACCAAAUUCAAGUCAAACUUGAAUCUGAGCUUCAAAGCUUUGUUUAAGACCAGAUAUUGUUAAUUUUCACAUCUUUUGCAAAGCUAGUGGCAUCAAUACGAUAAUUAGGUGACAACUAAGAAUCCGUUUGACUUAGCAGUUUGGCAAGCCGCGGGUCUAAAAGUGUUUGGUAAACUUGCAGAUAGCUUAGAAGUUAAAGUGAUUCCCACAGUCAUUUGACUAAAAAAAUCACUAAAAUUCUAAAAAUCUGCCAAGGAAUGGAGCCUCAGGAGCUCGAACAACGAGGGCGUGAAUUCACCACUUGGCGACCGUGAUGAAAAACUCAAUAUCUUUACUAUUUUCAUCAAAACUGUUUAUUUUCAUCCAAAUUUUUCACAUUUUAUUUUGCAGCAGCUGUGGCUCGAAGUCUGAAGCCUACCUACGUUUAUUCUCGAAUAUUUGUAAAUUUGUAACAUGAAGAAAAAAUUAGCAAAAUAACGAGUACCUAAAAGUCUUGAAACUGGAUAAUGUUGGGGAAACUGAAGAUCAGUGAUCCCAUUGACUGCAUAAAUUUCCCUGUAAAAUUCUUCCAUUGCUUUGAUGGUAGCUUCUUCGGGAAUCUUGCUAGCAGCAUGAAUCCAUAGACGGCCUUCACAGUCACAAAGACAAUAUAAAUUAAUUAUUUAAUGCCGCUACUAUUUAAACAAGUCUUAACAACAAUUAAAUAAUUAAUUACUUAAUUAAUUAUUAAGAGUAUGAGAGCAAAUUAUAUUUAUAUACCUCGAAGAGGAGCAGGCCAAGACCUGCCUUCAACGCGCUUGAUCCCGUAAACGAGGAGUGAAGCCCAUGGUUGAUGCAUCGUCAAACACGGGUUCGUGUAGUUCCCUUGCUUUCUUACUCCUCUCAUCUCUUUCUCUGUGUUUGGUUCCCGGGAGAAUCAAUCGGAAAAUUUCACACUACUUGUCUCCCAGAAGGAAUCUGUUCUUUUUCCUUUAAACUCGCAAGGCUUAUACAUUGUUUAAAUAAUAAAUAUGUAGCAAUAGUCACGUGCAAUAACAGACGUACACGUGCUAGCCCCAAUCAUAAUUAGAGCGGAUAAAAUUUGAAAUUUUGGUAAGAAUAAAUGAGUUUGAGUAAAAAACAUUAGAAAAAAGCUUUUUACUAAAAAAAAGCUCUUUUUAUUCAUGAGGUUUGAUGUAAUAGGGGCAAAGCUAUCUUGCAACAUGCGUUUGGUACCCCUCUCUUUUGUCUUUUUCAAGGUCAAUUAUAAUAAUGUCCUGCUAUUUGUUAUAAAAAUAAAAAUGCUAAAAUUUUUUAAAGUUUUACGCAUUAGUCCUACAUCUACAUAACAUCAUUUUUCUCAUCCAUUUUGCACCAUCAAUGACAUCAUUUUUCUCACCCAUUUUAAUUAAAAGGUAAUUAAAAUUAUUUUCCAUAUAGAAACAGAAUAAUAAAAUAAAAUUUUUUAUUAUUUAUUUUUUAAUUAAUUAUAAAAAGAUAUUUGUAUUAAAAAAUAUAGACAAUCACUAAUAACCAUUGUUUCUUCAAGUGCAAUGACAUUAUUAAUCGAAAGGGGAUAUGAAGGGUUCCAUUAGCCUUGAAAUUAGAUGAUCUACAUAAAGAUAGUCUCAAUGCUAGCAAAUGCUGAUAUAUAAAGUUGCAUGCUCCUUCUAAAAUAGCUGCAACAAUAACUAUACCACAAAAACACAAGGAGUUACAUUACACUACCACCUUUUUUUUAUUAUUAAUUUAGAGACCCUCAAUUUGGUUGUUAAAGACAAUGAACCUUAAAACGUGAUGUAGGAAGCAUAUUAAAUAAAAUAAAUUAGAAUUUAUUAGAAAUUAUAAUAUUUGGGUCAAUUUAGAAUUUAGUAUUUUAUUAAGAUUUAUCUUAUUUUAUUAAGCUUACUUGAGUCAUAUUUGUAAUUCUAAUCUAAUUAAGAUUUUAGAUUAUUUUUCUUAUUUAAGAAAGAUUAGGAUUAAGUUAGCUAUUAUUAUAUAUACAAGCUUGUUAUUCUUAAUUUAUAAUAACAGACACAAGUUUCUCAUUAAUAAUAUUCAAUUUUUUCACAAUUGAGAUAUCUUCUCUUUGCUGAGAGCUUUUUUUUUUUUAAAAAAAAUUUCAAGACAUAAAUGAUGUUAGAGCUUUUUAAGUUUUCAAGACAUAAAUGAUAUUAGAGCUUUUUUUUGUACCAGGCAGAGCAUUCUUGACCACCAACUCCAUACAUUAGUUCCAUCAAGUUAAAAAAAAAAAAAAAAAAACCUAGCAAAACCCGAAGCCGCCAUCACAUCCGCCACACAUGGUGUUGCCGCCACCGGUUUCUCUUCUUUUCGGUCGAUCCUCUCUCCCAUCCGAAAGCGCACACACCCAACCCAUAACACCACCAUCCCGUCACCGUAGCCACGGGAAACUAGCCAAAACAGCCGCUGAACCACCACGAAAAUCCGCCUCUCCAUUCGUUGCAAUUCGCCGCGAUUCACGGCCUCCACCACCACCCAUUCGUCCACCAUCAUCAGCUCUUUCUUUUCAACCCACUCACGCUGCCAACCCCCGGUCGAAUCGCCGGAAACCGAAACCAACCUCCACCCGCAAAUUUAACUCAACUUUUCGGUCAAAUCACAACUAUUUGAGACAAACCACCACCAGCAUCACACUCAGCACCAUCAAAUCUUCCAAAUCCACCUAUCCUAGGCCAAUUUUUCGACGGCCGUCGUUGGCGACACCAACUUUUGCCUAUUUAUAAUUUUUCCCCUUUACUUUUCUAUACUUAUACUAUUACCUAUAAUUUUAUGUUCUUUAAAAAAAAAAACCAAAAACCAAACAAACUUAUAAAAAAAUGAAUAAAUUAGAAAUUUACUAGGAAUUAUAAUAUUUGGGUCAAUUUAGUAUUUAGUAUUUUAUUAGAAUUUAUCUUAUUUUAUUAAGCUUACUUGAGUCAUAUUUGUAAUUCUAAUCUAAUUAGGAUUUUAGAUUAUUUCUCUUAUUUGAAAAAGAUAAUGUUUAAGUUAGCUACUAUUAUAUAUAUAGGCUUGUUAUUCUUAAUUUAUGAUAACAGACACAAGCUUCUCAUUAAUAAAAUUUAAUUUUUUCUUAAUUGAAAUAUAUUCUCUUUGGUGAGAGUUUCUUUCUUGAGUUUUCAAGACGUAUGCUAGAACGAAAUCUAGUAUUGCUUCCCCCCUGUGUUAAAACGUCAUCUAAUCAUAAGGUCUUAUUAUAGUUGUUUGCAUUGGAAGGCUCAUCUAUCGCCGGCAUAUCUAGUUAUCCAUCAACAUUGCCACCAUUACAUUGAUCAGAGAAUUUUGAAUACGUUGAUAGUUUUUUUUUUUUUUUGUUUACUCACUUCUAUUUCUUAGUGAUGAUACCGUUAUUGUUGUCAUUGAUGGUGCAAUAAUUUUUAGCAAUAUUAUUUUGAUUUUUCAUUUGAUUUACAAAACUUAAAAUAUUAAAUAUAAUACUCAAUUUUAGUCUCAUACACUUAAAUAUUAUUAAUAUUCAAGUUCAUGGAUGGAUAUUGAAUAAACCAAAUCCGGAGUAUUUUAGAUGGAUAUUAUCCAAUCUAUUUGGAUCAGAUACUUAGACAUCCAACUUGAAUGGAUUUGUUUGCUCUUUCUAGCUGUUAACUAGAUUAAUAAUUUUAUUGGGUUUGGUUUUAAAACUCCUAAUAUGAUAACUCAUUCAUGACACAAUUAAUUAUUCAAUUAAUUAUAUUAAUUGACUUCUAUUUUAAUUGAUAGAUAUGUGUUAAAUUGACAUCUCUAUUGUUAUCCAUGUGUGAUGUUAGCAAGAAAGAAGAAAGAAGAAAGAAUAGAAAAUACGUAUUUUUAGAUUAUUUUCAAAUAGAGUAAUUGUUUAGAAAUUUUUUACCCUUUUCUUAGAUCAGUUAAUGACUAUUUAAAUAGUUGGGGUGGAGUAACAAACACCAAUUUAUUUAAGUGUGCAAUUAAAUUAUUAUUUUUUAUUUUAAGGACAAAAACUCAUUGUUAAAAAAAAGAUUUUACAAGUUCAUAAACUAACACUUUAUUAUUAUUAGUAAAUUAACAUAUUUUUACUAAAUCAUUAAAUAAUUGAUAGUAUGUUUAAUAAAUAUUAUGUUACAAAAAAAAUUAACUAUAUAGAAUGUGAAAUUAAAUUUAUUUUUGUAUUUUGUAUAUUUCAUCUACUUGAGAUAAUAAAAUCUCUUGUGUUGAAAGAAAAAAUUAUGGGUUUUGAACCUUAUUCACAUAGGUGAGAGGAAAUUAGUUGCCAUUAUGUUAAAUUAAAAAAAAGAUCAUAUUUAUACUUAUCAUUAAUUAUGGUUAGUACAUAAUAUACAUAGUUUAACUAUAUAAUAAAGUAGUUAAUUUAUUAACUAAUAAAUUAUUAAUUUAAAUAAAUAUUAAUAAAUGUAAGAAAAAAUCAUUUAAUUAGAAACUUAGUUCAAUAGAGUUAAAAAAAAAAGAGAGAAUAUUAUUGACUUAUAUGUCAUAAUUUCAAAACUUUUGAUUUUUUUUAUUUUACAUGAACAAUAAGGGUCUUUGAUGUUAAUAACCCAAUAAUUACAUCUCAGCCAUUAUCCAAGUCUUACGUUAAAUCCAACGGUAGAUUUGAAAAAGACAAAAAAUGGGUACCAAACCCCAAAGGUAUUGUAGCUGACCCGAUGUAAUAGUUCAUUACAUCUUUAUUUUUUUAAAUAAUAGCCUAUUUCAUCAUUCUUUUUCAAACAAUAGACAAAAUGGUCUUUUGUAAAUUUAUAAUUAGUUUACUUUAUAAUUAACUGAGGACAAAAUAAAAUUUUUAGUUAAAUAAAUACAAACUAUUUUAAAAUAAAAAUCUCAAGAAAAAUAAAUAAUAUCUAAAUUUCUAUAUAUAUUUAAAGUUCACAUAUAACUUAAUAAAACAAAAAUAACACUAAAAAACAUGCAAUAUAUUUGUGUGUAUGUGCAUUCAUUAAAUAUUUUUAAUGAAGUCAAUUAAAUUUUUGAAUAAUAAUUUUUUAAAAUUAAGAAUCGUUAUCCCUAUUAAGGUUAAUGAUAAGCUAAAAGACAAAAAAAAAAAAAACCAUACACUCUAAUGUAGUAUGCUCUAUUCUAUAAUAUUUGUAAAUAUGUGUUUUUAUGUAUUUAGUGUGUAUUUUUAAAACUAAAUAAAGGAGUGUGUGUUCAUUUUUUAUAGAAUAACAGUAUAAUUGAUUAUUUAUUUAUUUAUCUUGAUCAUAUUAAAAUGAAGGACAAACUAAAGGAUUAAAAAAAAAAAACUCAUUCUAGUGCUUGUGAAAUCUAUGUUUUUCUUUUUUAAUUUUGUCUUAGAUAUAUAUUUUACAUAUUAUUUAGUGUUAUUAUUGUUUAGUCAUUAAGUUAUCCUUAUAUUUUAAAUUUACACCCAAAGGCAGAUAUUUUUUAAUUACAUUUGAGAGUUUUAUUUUAAAAUAGUUUGUAUAUCCUUAUUUGAAAAUUUAAUUUUGUUUUCAAUGAAUUAUAUAGUAUACUAACAAUAAAUUGACCGAAGAGUGUUUUGAAGAAAGAUUUUGUAAAUUAAUUUUAAAUUGAAAACACAAGUAUAAUUUAGAUUCUGCCAACAUGAAUUAGUUUUGGUUAACUGUUUAAUAAUUAUAUCAUUAAUCAAGUAAAUGAGUCAAGAAAUUAAACCCUUACUCGACAAAAUAAAAAAAAAAUCAUGUUGACCAAAUCAAACUCAUAUAAUAAUUGUGUCAACUUUUAUGGGAAAAAUACCUUUUUCACUUCUAAGGUUUGAUGUAAUAAUCAAUUUCAUCUUUAUUAUUUAAAUAAUAGCUCAUUUCAUUCUUAUUUUACAAGAUUUGAUGUCAAUAAUAUUAAAUAGGUAUUAAGCGAGUUAUUAAGUUGUAUUAUAUUAGGUGAUACAAUUACAUGAUUAUUAAAUGAGUGUAUUAGAUCACUCAUUUAUUUUUUAUGUAGUGUUUCAAUUUUAAUAUUUUGACACGAAUAUUAAAUGAGCUGUAUUUGAGUCCGCUUAAAGGUGAACUCGCUUCAAAAUGAGUUUGUUGUGGUACUGAUUCUUCAUCUUUUCUGGUAACAGAUUUGAAUAAAUAGAGUAGUGGACCAAGAAAAGAGUUUUAACUCCAAGGAAUUCCUUAUGUCAAACUCACAAAAUUGACACGAUACGAGCAGAACCAGUUGUUGUGCAAAUUUUAAUGUACUCGCAAGCGCACGAAUCUAUUGUAGAAUAGAUUAAUGGUGACGAGUGUCGAUCCCACGAGGAGGUGGAUUUUAAUUGUGUAUAGAAUUAAUUUUGCAAAUGGGUAAUUGGAAUUGUGGUGGAAGUGAUUUAAAAUAUGCUAAAAUUGGAAUUUCAAUGGCGAGAAUAAAUUGUAGAGAAAAUCGAUUAAAUUGACGUACUUGGGUAUCUGGAUCCGUAUCAACAUGCAUCAUGAGCUAAAUAUUCCUUAUUAAUACCAAUUAAAUCAUGAGGGAGGAAUCCACACCUCAUGAACCACGCUCUAAUCAAUAUGGUGCUAAGGGCUUAUCGUGCCAAAUAAUAAUAACAUUAUACUAGAGAGCCGGUGUAACCAAGGCGGUAUCUAGACAAGAUCAGUAUUAUUUGUCGACGAUAAGUCAAAUCAUCCACAAAAACUAGAGGGGAAAAGAAAAUAAAUUUACCAAAUAAAGCCCAUGACACAUGUUGAGACUUCACCUUCAACCCAAGCUUGAAAGGAAAUUAGCUACUCAUAAUUGAAUUAGGGGCAAAAUGAGAAUUUAUUAAAAUACAAAGAAAAUACAAGAUGGAGAAGGAAUUACAGAAAAUGGAUCCCAAAAAUGAAUUCAGAGAUAUCAAAUUAGGGGGGGGGGGAAGCCCCCUUUUUAUAGAUACAUGGAGUAAAUCAUGGCCAUCAGAUUAAAAACAGUUUGGACGCUUAGGAUUGCGCCACGUCAUCAGUCAACAGUCCACGGUUUGACCACACGGAUGAACAGUAACACGGUUUGACCCGGAUGAACAGUAACGCGGUUUGACCCGGAUGAACAGUAACGCGGUUUAGUUGAAAAUAAUCAUGUGUGAUGCAUGCACCGUACGCGAGAUUUUUCGUCCACUGAUAUGCUGCCACGUCACCAUCAACAGUACAUAAGAAUUUUAGUCCAACAGGAUCGUGACACCUCAUCAGUCAAUGCCACAUCAUCGGUCAAUGCCACGUCAUCGAUCCGUCUAUGUGAACAGUGUCGUGAACAGUAACGUAGACAGUACCGUACACGUGAAUAGUACCGUACAUGUGAAUAGUGCCAUUUUUCCUUUUAUGCUCCUCCUAAGGUUUUCGACCGUCCUGAGUUCAAAAGUGAUGUCCGUUUUGCCGUCUGAUCUCUCCUUUAUUGUGAAAUGACUAUAAUGCCCCUAAAAUACAUAAAAUACUUAAUUAAAAUAAAACACACGGAAUUAAAUCGAAAGAAGGUUAAAUUCAUAAAAGUAAAGGUGUUAGUAAAACUUGUAGUGUAAAAUGACGAUUUUCUCCUUUAUAAAUAUACAUUUUCUAACACUCAACACACCCCCCAACCAGCUUAUUGCUAGUCCCUAGCAAAUAAAGCGAAAACAAAAUUCAAAUUCAAAAUGAUUUUUUUUUUUUUAGAAACACUCGUGUUUAUUCAAUCAGAUUAAUGAUAGCAAUCAAAUAAAAGUAUAAGCAUUAUCUCCAGUCUAAAGCAACAUCACACCCACAUCACACCCACAUCAACCAUCCACAUGAAUUAGCCCAAUAGACUUUGUUAUAGCUACUUUCAAGAAUGACAUGUCAAACCCCAAAAUCUCACUGGAAGUAGUGACACUCACAAAGAAAUUAAAACCCAAUAACCAUAGUCACUCCAAUGAAUGGUAAUUGAGAGAGAAAAUAAUAAAGAAAUGAUAUCACAUGCUCUCACCAAGAUGAAAUAAAUAUGCCCUCAGCUUAGAAAUAAUACGAUCUCAAGUCAAAUAAAAUGUUAGUCAACCCACUUUGUUUAUCUCUUUUUUUUUUCUCUUUUUUUUUUAUUAUUAUGCAUCACUACAUCUUUUUAGCCCAUAUAACUAGCUUCUACUUCAAACUAUAGUUCCCUAAAAUCAAGAAGGACUUUUAUUAGGACGUAACGUAGGCUAGGGAUAUGGCUAACAAAGAAAUGAAAUAAGGAAACAAAGUGUAUGUUUGAGAAAAAUGCAGAGAUUUUUUUUUUUUUUUUUUGAAGUUGCAAGGUGUAUUUCACCUAUUGUUGUUAUUUUUAUUCUUUUGAAACAACAACUUUUGUUUUUUUUUUUGUUUUUUUUUGCUUUUAUUUGGCAUAACUUCACUGAACAACAUAAUUAUUUACAUUUUCUCAAACAUAAAUAGGUGAUGGAACUUAUAAGACAUCGGGUAAUACUCCAAAUCGGAGUGGGUCAAGAUGAUAAGUUGACAAAGAAAAAGUUUUUUCUUUUUUUUUUUUAAUUUUUUUUUUAAAGGCUCAAAAGGGGUAACUAUGGAUAUUUAAUAAAAGGGAUGGCUAGAAAGGCUCAAACGGAUCAAAGAUGGCAUUUCCAUCGUCUUUUAGGGCUCUAAAUAAUUAUCCAUAUCUACUAGUUAGAUGGGCCUCCCAAUGUAGCAACACACAUUUUUUUUUUAUUUUACCAUUUUUUUUAAAGGGUUAACUCAAAAGAAAUCUAGAGAUCGUGUAUAAAAUAAUAAACUGCUAAGCUGUAUAGAGAAUGGGCAAAAGGGUUACUCUCCAAGAAAAUGAUAGGCUCAACAACUCACUUGGCACUUAUUUAUGACAUGUUCAUUCCUUCAAGCAACUCAUAUUUGUCUCCGACAUCAACAUGUAAAGUAGCAAACAUAGUGUAACAUCACUUAAGACCAAAGAUAAUACAAAUACUAAAAUUUGAAAUUAAUCAUGUCAUCCAAUGUUAAAACAAAUAACACAAUUUUUUUUUUAAACAACAUUCUACCCCCCAACCUAUUCUAAACAUGAAAGGAAAAUAUGCAUGCAGAAAUGUGAAAAUGAUGUAGAAAAAUUAAUUAGAAAAAGAUUUUUUUUUUUUAAACUAAGAAGAUGCGUUUCUAGAGGCACUACACUCCAUAUUCAGCCAUCUUCGACUCAAAAAUUUGAAACUAUAUAUUUAUAAAGGAGAAAGAGGAAGAAAACGAUUUUUUUUUUUUAAAACAAUGAAGAUGCGUUUCUAGAGUAACUACACUCCAUAUUCAGUCAUCUUCAACACAAAACGUUAGCAACAGUUAGUUUCUACAACAAAAAAUCAGUAAAAACUUAACCAAGAUUCCACAAUUGUCGACUAUUCCCUCCCCCCAACCAGAACGAAACAUUGUCCUCAAUGUUUUAAAGGAAAGAAGUAGAGUUUAGAAGACAUCACCUGGGUGGUGCAACACAGAAGAAAAUAUUUACAGGCGGAGAGUUAAAUCUAAUUUGUACUUCUUACUGCGGCUACUGUUACCAUCAUUAUUUGGUCGCUCCAACACAAAGGUCCAGGGGUCUGGCUCCGGUUUAUAAGCUUGUAACAUAUCAAGUAGCUCAUUAGCAGUGUGAGCACAAAUAAAGAGUUUUUUCACAUUAGAAGGAAUGAAAUAGUUUUUUAUUGCAUGGUUAAGAAAUGCGAUAAAGUCAUCAUAAAAGUUAUUGACAUUUAACAAACCGAUGGGUUUCUGGUGAAUGUGUAGAUGGGCCCAAGAUGCUAGUGUCAUAAGUGCCUCUAGUGUUGCAAGAUCUACUGGAAGGAAAAUAAAAGCAUCAGCAUGAUUAAGCAUUUCAGUUAUUCUUUCUUGCAUACCUGAGACGACUAACUCUUCUCCAGUUGAUGAGUCAGACGAACUGCCCAAUGGUUUUAGGACUCUUGGGAUGAUGCCUAACACUUGACUUCCUCUGAUAAAAGCUGCUUCUGAGACCAUUUUUGAUAAUCCUCGGUUGCCUCCUCCAUACACCAAGUGUAAUUUUCUCGCUGCUAUGCUUCGACCAAGAUCUAUGGCUGCCUCCACGAACUCUUUAUGUUUGCCAUAGGUAAAUCCAGAAAGCACACAAAUGUUCUUGAAUUGUCUAUUGGGAGUAGCUGCCAUUGUGAUACUUCUCAAAAACAAUUUGUGAGUGCUUGACAAAAGAUAAAUCACAUUUAAGAAUCUUGGUGACAAUGGAUCACAGCUGUGAAGGAGGUAACAUGUCAGUGUCAAAUAACGCGUAAAGCACGUGGCUCGCGAGUCAAAAAGGAAACAGUAAAAAGGAAAAAGCAAGCAGUAAUAAAAUUAUUAAAGACAAUAAUACAAACGAUAAAACAACAGUAAAAUAAAACAACAGUAAAGUAAAAGGAUAUUUACAGGUAGUUGCGACUGUGGCUCACAUCUUCCUCUGGUUUUACGUCCAGAAACGGCUUGAACGCCCUCUAUGGGUCGAGGAUCGGCUUCCCAUCCAGUUUUCUUAUAAACUGACAAACAGGGUCGUUUAUAGUCAGAUUCCCGAGACUAUAUCGUGCAUGCUCUUUCUGGAAUAAUGGCCAUAACCGGAGAAUCGCUCCUUGCACAUAUCCACUGGGAUGCGUUUCAAGAGACAAAAGGAUAUCAUCCAAUGACUCCUUAUUCAAGCCAUCCCUAAUGAAUUGAAUCUUAUCUUCCCUGUUAUCAGACACAAUUCCUAAAGAACAUGGGUUUCUAUCGCAACUCAUUCUGGCACACUUAUGACAAGCAACAGAAAUUCUUCGAGCUCUUCGUUUUCUUGCAUAAUUUCCUUUACCACAACCAGGCAUGAAUGCAAUAAAUUUUGGAGGUAACUCACCUGCCGAUCGUACUUUAGCCUCGAUUAACCAACGGAUGUCAGCAGGUAUGUUAUUCUUCAUGAGUAAUUGCAUGCGUUCGGACCGAGCUUUAUAGAUCGUAAAGAGGGCAUUCUGAGGAAGUGAAGGGAAUCGCUUGUGAAGCUUCGCUAGAAUCUCGUUUUUGUCCAUACUUUCGCCUCAGAAUGUCAGUUAUUAUGGGAAACUGAAGUAACCGACUUGAUUGUCAUGGAGUACCGUUAUCCGCCACUUCACCGGGGUAACAAACUAAAGCACACAAACAGAAAAACAAAUCAAAACACACAAAGAAAAUUAAAAUCGUCCUCUUAUUGAAUUUACCUCAAGUUCCAACUGGAUGUCGUAAACACUUCUCUCAAUGUCUCUGAGUUGGCGUUCUAAACCCUCAACAUAGGCUACUAACUCUGGUGGUUGUAGAGCCCAAAUGCGUUGUGUUUUACAAAAUUGAAUCUGCUUUUUGAGAUGAGUUUUGACACGUUGAAGUGGUUUAAGAAUGUUCAGGAGGAACGGUCUAAGUAAGGUACUCAUGAUUAAAAAUGAUAAGAGAAAACUUAAUUGUUAAACAAACACACUUAUGCAAAAAUAAUUUCAAUUAGCAAAAGAAUAAUAAAAAGAAAGAAAGAAAAAUCAAAUCAACGAAAAGAAAAAAAAAACAAAUCAAUUCAAAUCUGGUGGGUCACUCAAAUUUAUUUCGGUGUCUUCUCCAUGUGGUUGGUACUCUAGAUAUGGCUUUAAUCUUUGACCAUUAACUUUAAACGUGACACCGUUCUUUGGGUCUUUAAUUUCAAUUGCCCCAUGUGGAAAAACAGUAUGAACAAUAAAGGGACUAGACCAUCGAGAGCGUAACUUACCUGGGAAUAGGUGCAAGCGAGAAUUGAAUAAAAGCACUUUCUGACCUGGAGUGAACGAUUUUCUCAUAAUGUGCUUGUCAUGAAAGACUUUCAUUCGUUGCUUGUAAAUUUUGGCAUUUUCGUAUGCAUCAUUGCGAAUUUCUUCAAGUUCUGCCAGUUGUAAUCUUCUUUCUGAGCUGGCUUGCUGUAUGUCAAAGUUGAAUUUCUUGAUGGCCCAAUAUGCAUGAUGCUCGAGUUCCACAGGUAGGUGGCAAGCUUUUCCAUACACUAGCCUAUAGGGUGACAUCCCAAUCGGGGUCUUGAAAGCUGUUCUAUAUGCCCAUAAUGCAUCAUCAAGUCUUAAUGACCAAUCUUUUUUGUCUGGCCUCACCGUUUUUUCUAAUAUGUGCUUGAUUUCUCGAUUGGAGAUCUCAACUUGGCCACUGGUUUGCGGAUGAUACGGGGUCGCCACUUUGUGUGUAAUUGAAUACUUUGUCAAAAGAGCUUUAAAUGCUUUGUUACAAAAGUGGGCACCACCAUCACUGAUUAUCGCUCGAGGGAAUCCAAAGCGCGAAACAAUAUUGCUUUUCAAAAAUCCUAUCACCACUUUGUGAUCAUUGGUUCUGCAUGGAAUUGCUUCCACCCAUUUCGAUACGUAGUCAACACCAACCAAUAUGUAUUGAUGGCCAAAAGAAGGGGGAAAGGGUCCCAUGAAGUCGAUACCCCAUACGUUAAAAAUCUCAACCACUAAAAUUGGAUUUAGUGGCAUCAUGUUCCUUUGUGUAAUGUUCCCCAUUCGUUGACACCUAUCACAUGAAGAACAGAAAGUGUAAGCAUCUCGAAAUAUAGUUGGCCAAUAAAAACCACAUUGUAAAACUUUAGUCGCCGUUUUCUUAGCACUGAAAUGGCCUCCACAAGCUUGUUCAUGGCAGAAUGAAAGGAUAUUCUGAAUUUCACUUUCAGGGACACAUCGUCUAACAAUUUGGUCUGCACAAUACUUGAACAAAUAUGGGUCAUCCCAAAAGAAAUUCUUUAUUUCCGCAAAGAAUUUAGCAUUGUCUUGCUUGGUCCAAUGCUCUGAAAAUUUACCUGUAACAAGAUAAUUAACUAUAUCAGCAUACCAAGGUAAUACUUCCACACUCAUUAAUUGUUCAUCUGGAAAUGACUCAUUUAAUAUUAAUGGCUAUGUAAUUGUGUCAAAAUGGAGACGAGAGAGAUGGUCCGCCACAACAUUUUCUGUCCCUUUUUUAUCUUUGAAUUCCAAGUCAAAUUCCUGCAAAAGUAAUACCCAACGAAUUAGUCUAGCUUUUGCAUCUUUCUUUGUGAGAAGAUAUUUAAGAGCAGCAUGAUCUGUGAAUAUAAUUAUUUUACAACCAAUGAGAUAAGAUCGAAAUUUCUCUAAUGCAAACACUACUGCUAGCAUUUCUUUUUCAGUAGUUGAAUAGUUCAACUGUGCAUCAUUCAAUGUCAUACUAGCAUAGUAAAUAACAUGGGGAAUUCGAUCAACUCUUUGUCCUAAUACUGCUCCUACUGCAUAAUCAGAUGCAUCACACAUGAGCUCAAAUGGUAAGCUCCAGUUUGGGGCCUGAAUGAUGGGUGAUGAUGUCAACAAUUGCUUUAAUUUUUCAAAAGCCAUAAGACAUGAAUUAUUAAAGAUAAAAGGUACAUCCUUAGCAAGUAAAUUGCACAAGGGUCUAGAAACUUUGCUAAAAUCUUUAAUGAAAUGUCUAUAGAAACCAGCAUGCCCAAGGAAAGAUCUUACUUCUCUGACUGUUUUGGGUGGAGGAAGAUUAGAAAUGAGAUCCACCUUGGCUUUGUCAACCUCAAUACCUUUGCUUGAAAUGAUGUGACCGAUAACAAUACCUUGUUUUACCAUAAAAUGGCACUUCUCCCAAUUCAAGACUAAGCUCUUCUCGGUACAUCUCUGCAGAACUAGCGUUAGAUGAUGUAAACAUUGAUCAAACGAGUCACCAAAGACAGAAAAAUCAUCCAUAAAGACUUCAAGGAAUCGUUCAACCAUAUCAGAAAAAAUGCUCAACAUGCAUCGUUGAAAUGUAGCAGGUGCAUUACAUAAUCCAAAUGGCAUUCUCCUAUAUGCAAAUGUGCCAAAAGGGCAAAUGAAAGUAGUUUUCUCUUGAUCUUUUGGUGCUAUGGGAAUCUGAUUAUAUCCUGAGUAGCCAUCUAGAAAGCAAUAAAAUUCAUGGCCUGCUAAUCUAUCAAGCAUUUGAUCAAUAAAUGGUAAAAGAAAAUGGUCUUUACGUGUGACAGAAUUCAACUUUCUAUAAUCAAUGCAUACACGCCAUCCUGUAGUUACUCUAGUUGGUAUCAAUUCAUUAUCAGCAUUGGUAACUACUGUGACUCCUGACUUUUUGGGGACAACUUGUACAGGACUGACCCAUGAACUAUCAGAAAUUGGGUAAAUGAUACCUGCGUCUAAUAGCUUAAGGACUUCAGUUCUAACAACUUCUUUCAUAUUAGGAUUUAACCGACGUUGCAUUUCCCUAGUAGAUUUAGCAUUUUCAUCAAGGUGAAUGUAAUGCAUGCAGUCUACUGGAUUUAUACCUUUGAUGUCUGCUAUAGUCCAUCCUAAUGCUCCUUUGUGCUCUUUUAAAACAUCUAACAACUUACCUUUUUGUUCGUCGUUUAGGGAUGAUGAGAUGAUUACCGGUAGAGUACUUUCUUCUCCCAAAAACGCAUAUUCCAAUGUGUUGGGCAAUGGUUUGAGCUCGAGUUUCGGUGGUGAUUCUGAUGAUGGGAUGAGUUUCUUCUCUGAUGGUGCUAGUUGUUCAACUCUUGACUUCCAUUUAUUAGUGUCCAUGUAUGGUGCUGAGUCAAGCAGGGAGUUGACCUCAUCGACCGAUCUGUCAAUAUCAAAAUCCAAACCAAAGUGAGUUAAACAUGUUUGUAAAGGAUCAUCACUAAAGUUUGAAAUAAAUGUGUCAUCAACUAAUGCUUCAAUUAAAUCCACAUCAACAAUUCCAUCAUCUGCACUGUGAGGUUGUUUGGCAAUGUUGAAAAUAUUUAGCUCCAUAGUCAUGUUGCCGAAGGACAACUGCAUAUUUCCAGUCCUGCAUUGAAUGUGAGCAUCCGCAGUUGCCAAGAAAGGUCGGCCUAGGAUAAUGGGGAUGUGCUUCCUUGAAUCCUGUAUUGGUUGAGUGUCAAUUACAAUGAAAUCAACAGGAAAAUAAAACUUGUCUACCUGGAUAAGCACGUCCUCCACAAUACCACGAGGUAUUUUUGUAGACCGAUCUGCAAGUUGUAACACCACUGGAGUUGGGUGUAAUUCUCCAAGUCCAAGUUUCACGAAAACAGAGUAAGGCAACAAAUUUACACUAGCUCCUAAAUCCAACAAAGCAUUCUCAAUUGUAUGGUUCCCUAUACUACAUGAGAUAGUGGGGGAGCCUGGGUCUUUGCAUUUUAAAGGAAUUUUAUGUUGGAGUAUAGAACUAACGUUUUCUGUUAAAAAUGCCUUCUUUUGAACAUGCAUAUUUCUCUUUUUAGUACAAAGGUCUUUAAGAAACUUGGCAUAAGAUGGAACUUGUUUAAUAGCAUCAAGUAAAGGGAUGUUAACACUUACCUGUUUGAAGAUUUCGAGAAUCUCACCUGUGGAUUUUCCCUUUUUUCCUUUAGCUAACCUCUGAGGAAAUGGAGCUUUGGGAACGUAUUCUCGUGGGUUGGUUUCUUCUUUUUCCUCCGGUGGUGAGUCUUCAACAUUCACAGGUACAAUUUGAUUUUCUUUUGUCACCGGCAUAUCCACUUUGUUGUCGACUUCCUUUCCUUUUCGCAAGGUCAUGACUGCUUUGACCUCUCCAUGCUGCUGUGGUGAACUGGUACUUGCUUCAUGUACUCCUUUAGGAUUAGGCACUGGUUGACUAGGAAAUUUACCUUUCUCAACAGUCAUUGCCAAGGUCUGAACUGAAGAAGCAAGUUGUCCCACCAUCUUCUCGAGGCUUGAAACUGAUUGAGCUUGUGAGUUGAAGCCCGCUCUCAAUUCAUUUCGUAGUCCAUCAAUGGUGCGGUUCUGUUGCUCAAUCGUGGAGUGAGUAAGAUUCUUGAGAUUCUGGAAUGAAUCCUCCCAUGGUCUGGGUUGAGAGUAGUUCUGGUUCUAAUUGAAUGGUCUAAAUGGGGGCUGAGAGGCUUGAGGAUUUUGAGGAAUUUGUUGCAUUGGUGGAGCUGGAGCUGCUGGUCCAUUCUGUUGGAAUCCUUGAGACCAUGAAAAAUUGGGGUGGUCUCUCCAUCCAGGAUUAUAUGUGUUGGAGUAUGGGUUGUAAUUUGAUGGCUUUCUCAUUACACUAUGGCAUUGGCUUGAUCUGGAUAUGAGUUAGGGUCAUGUGAUUCUGUUGAUUUAGCAGUCGAUAACGAUGCUAUUUGUCGAGCAAGACCUUCAACCAUCUCCUCGACUUCUUUGAUUCCCGAAGUUGACUCGCCAAUGUGAACCUCAUUCACUCCUUUAAUCCUUCUAGUAUUCCUGAGUGAUCGACUCCGUUGUUGGGAAUUAUCCGCUUGUCGCUGAAAGAAUUCCCAAAUUUCUGAUGCACUUUUUGACAUUAGCUCUCCUCCACUUGUUGCCAUUAGCCAUUCUUGCACAUUCGGCAAUAAUCCCUCCAAAAAGUAUUGGCAUUGAUGCCAUUUUUCGUACCCAUGAUGUGGACACUUCAAGAGUAGUCCAUUGAAUCGCUCCCAAGUUUCGAAAAACUGCUCGUCCUCUCUUUGUGUAAACUCUGAAAUUUCCCUACGAAUAGAAUUGGUUUUAUGCACUGGGAAAUAUUUAUUUAGAAAUUUUGUAACCAUUUGUUCCCAUGAUGCAAUGCUAUUAGCAGGCAAUGUAUUAAGCCAUGAACGAGCUCUAUCCUUUAAAGAAAAUGGGAAUAAUCUAAGCUUUACAUCAUCAUCUGAAAAAUUCUCGUAUUUAAAAGUUUGACAAAUAGCAUGAAAAUCAUUCAGAUGAUUAUAUGGGUCCUCAUUUUCUAGGCCAUAAAAUGUGGGGAGACAAUUUAGCACACUAGGUUUUAAUUCAAAACUCAUAGCAGCUACAUUUGGGUAUCUAAUACAUGAUGUGCUCAAAUUAGCUAAGGGACUAAAAUAGUCCUUAAAUGGCCUCUCAUGUGGUUGCAAAUCCAUUUUAUUUUUAAUGUGCUUUUGUGUGCGAAGUGUUUUUUCUAGUUCAAGGUCUAUAGGUUCAAGAUUAGGUAAUAAUGACCUACGACCAUGCAUGCAAAACAAAUAAAAUAAAAAUAAAGAUGGGAACAAAACAAAUAAAAAUAAAGAAGAGGGAGAAAUUACGAUACUAACCUUAUUGCACUGUUACAACUUUUCUAUAAAAAUACACAAAAACAAAUACGUGAAAUAAAUUAACUAAAAAUUAAAUUAAUAAAAUAAACAAAAAUUACAAAGAAAAAAUAAAUUGAAAAUUAAAUUACAGAAUUUUAAAGAAGAGAAAAAGAAAAGAAAUACUAACCUCUAAAUGCGGAUUCACUUUUUUUUUUAAUAAAAAAUACAAGAAAAUAAUUUAAAAUAAAUUAUUCACAAAAAUUAAUUCUAUGAAUUAAAAUUACUUACCUCCCCGGCAACGGCGCCAAAAACUUGUUGUGCAAAUUUUAAUGUACUCGCAAGCGCACGAAUCUAUUGUAGAAUAGAUUAAUGGUGACGAGUGUCGAUCCCACGAGGAUGUGGAUUUUAAUUGUGUAUAGAAUUAAUUUUGCAAAUGGGUAAUUGGAAUUGUGGUGGAAGUGAUUUAAAAUAUGCUAAAAUUGGAAUUUCAAUGGCGAGAAUAAAUUGUAGAGAAAAUCGAUUAAAUUGACGUACUUGGGUAUCUGGAUCCGUAUCAACAUGCAUCAUGAGCUAAAUAUUCCUUAUUAAUACCAAUUAAAUCAUGAGGGGGGAAUCCACACCUCAUGAACCACGCUCUAAUCAAUAUGGUGCUAAGGGCUUAUCGUGCCAAAUAAUAAUAACCUUAUACUAGAGAGCCGGUGUAACCAAGGCGGUAUCUAGACAAGAUCAGUAUUAUUUGUCGACGAUAAGUCAAAUCAUCCACAAAAACUAGAGGGGAAAAGAAAAUAAAUUUACCAAAUAAAGCCCAUGACAUAUGUUGAGACUUCACCUUCAACCCAAGCUUGAAAGGAAAUUAGCUACUCAUAAUUGAACUAGGGGCAAAAUGGGAAUUUAUUAAAAUACAAAGAAAAUACAAGAUGGAGAAGGAAUUACAGAAAAUGGAUCCCAAAAAUGAAUUCAGAGAUAUCAAAUUAGGGGGGGGGAAGCCCCCUUUUUAUAGAUACAUGGAGUAAAUCAUGGCCAUCGGAUUAAAAACAGUUUGGACGCUUAGGAUUGCGCCACGUCAUCAGUCAACAGUCCACGGUUUGACCACACGGAUGAACAGUAACACGGUUUGACCCGGAUGAACAGUAACACGGUUUAGUUGAAAAUAAUCAUGUGUGAUGCAUGCACUGUACGCGAGAUUUUUCGUCCACUGAUAUGCUGCCACGUCACCAUCAACAGUACAUAAGAAUUUUAGUCCAACAGGAUCGUGACACCUCAUCAGUCAAUGCCACAUCAUCGGUCAAUGCCACGUCAUCGAUCCGUCUAUGUGAACAGUGUCGUGAACAGUAACGUAGACAGUACCGUACAUGUGAAUAGUGCUAUUUUUCCUUUUAUGCUCCUCCUAAGGUUUUCGACCGUCCUGAGUUCGAAAGUGAUGUCCGUUUUACCGUCUGAUCUCUCC